This 85739-nucleotide long non-coding RNA is filed under the name Triticum aestivum (bread wheat). RNAcentral's name for it is "long non-coding RNA (TAES_LNC009109)". The stretch from base 61295 to 61418 matches the Rfam family "MIR1120/MIR1122 microRNA precursor family". The record is from RNAcentral. Lineage: Eukaryota; Viridiplantae; Streptophyta; Magnoliopsida; Poales; Poaceae.
UUUUUUUGGCGGUCUCCAUUUUGGCUCGAGCGACCAGGCACGUACCCCCGCACUCGCUAUGUCCAGAAUUUUGGAGAUUGCAAACUUUUUUAACUCCUAGACAUUUUUUCAAAUGAUUGAACAUUUUUUGAAUUUAAACUUUUGUUCAUCAAAGUAUAUGAAAAAAUAGAAAUUCUAGAAUAUUUUUUGAAAUCACAAACAUUUUCUGAAAUUACGCACAUGUUUUUUGGAACUUGUGAACAAUUUUUUGCAUAGGCGGACAUUUUUUGAAAUUUGGAAACAACUUUUGGAAUUCAGAAACAUGUUUUGUUUUCAAUUAACAUUUAUUGAAUUCAUGAAUAUACUUUUUGAAUCAGCGAACAUUAUUUGCAAAAUUGGAAAAAAUUGAAAUUCCAAAAAAUUGUUUUGGAUAUUUUUAACAUUUCUUAAGAAUACAUGAACAUUUUUUGAAGAUAUGAACUUUUUUUGUAAAUCAUGAACAUUUUCUCAAUCGAUGAAAGUUCUUUUAAUUCAUGAACAUUUUUAAAAUCACGAUUUUUUUUAAAAGACAAGGAAGUGCAUAUAAUAGGUAAUGCAUCCCCACAACAAACAAGAUCACGCAGUUAGUCUGCUGGUUACGUCGCCAGCUAUGUGGGCAGAGGUUGCGAAGUCGAAGGCCCACACAUCCCCAACCACCCCCAAAUAUUUUUUAUGAGGAACCUGUCCUCCCCUCUUUGAAACAAGGGGCUCUUCUGGUUCUGUGCGUGCUUCAAACAAUUUUAUCUUCUUCAUAUUGAGAAUGUAUCAUGUGCACCCGACAAACUGGUGCACCAGGUGCUCUGGUGGAUCAUGAGCCUUUGGAUUUAAAAGAUAGGGACAUAAUGCGGCGCAAAAGGGAGCCCCUGGUGCUUUUACACAUUUACCCUUGAAGUGUAACUGAAUUCUGCAUCCACCCCAUCUCCAAUCGUCUCUCUUCAUCUGUUCUUCUUUCCUCUGCCACCGUACGCUAUGGGAGUAUGGUUAGAGAAAAUAUUGCUCGAUGUCAUCUCACUCCCUAUCCUUUCUCUCCUCCCUCUCCUUUACCUACGGUAGGAUCUCCUGCAUGAAGCUUAACUGCACUCUACGCUCGCCUGAAUCGACUUUGUGGAUUGACAGAUUGAUUUAGGCAGCGUUGGUCCAUGACGUCGAUUCUGUAGUGCUUUGGGAGUUAAGGUUGCUUCCGCGAUUCAUAUAUCAAGGGUAAGUUCUCUUCUUCCCUUACCCUUGAGUUCUAACUGUAUUUUGGUUCUUCCAAUAUGAUCAUAAUUUUUCCCCAUUCAUUUGAAACAAGUGGCAUUGGGAAUAAUAAUAUUAUAUGCAUUGAUUAGAUGUACGAUCUAAAACUAUAAGGAUAAAAUUUUAAUCUCAAUUGCAACAUUUGAAAGUGUGUUAUAUCGACUAGAGGGGGGUGAAUAGGUGAUUUUUAUGAAUUCUUCACUGAGGAAUUUGCUGGUGAGGAAAUUCCUAAAUGAAGAACUACUUGCAGCGGAAUAAGUACUCAGAAAGGAACAUAACAGAACACAAGCAUGGUCAUCAUGAUGAAAUAAAGAAAAGCACAGAGUACAGAAAGCGUAAACACAGGAUAACACAAGAAAGAAGACGAACAUACUGAAGAAAUAGAGCUGAGGAAAUUGAGAAAGUCUUCAGUCAAAGUCUUCAAACAGAUAUGAACAGGCACACACCAAAAUACAUGAGGAAUUUAAAGAGUUGAGGAAAUAGAACCAGUAAGCUCGGUGAAGACAAUGAUUUGGUAGACCAGUUCCAACUGCUGUCUCAGUUGUACAUCUGGUUGGAGCGGCUGAGUAUUUAAACUCGAGGACACCCAGUCCCGGACACACAGUCCUCACCGUAUUCUCCUUGAGCUAAGGUCACACAGACCUCGCCCAAUCACUCGUGGUAAGUCUUCAGGUGACUUCCGAACCUUCACAAACUCGGUCACUCGGCGAUCCACAAUUCCUCUUGGAUGCUCUAGACCUUGACGCCUAACCGUCUGGAAGAAGCACAGUCUUCAAAGGAAACAAGCGUCGGAUCCACGUAGGAUCAAUCUCUUCAGUGAUGCUCAAUCACUUGGGAUUUUGUAGGUUUGGGUUUGGGAUUUCCUCACUUGAUGAUUUUCACUCAAAGUCCUCGGAGGAUGGGUUGCUCUCAAAUGACAAGUGUCAGUUUCUCUCGGAGAAGCCAACCAACUAGUGGUUGUAGGGGGCGGCUAUUUAUAGCCUAGGGAGCAACCCAACAUGAUAAGACAUAAAUGCCCUUGUCUGAUAUGACCGUUAGGUGGGUAGAUAUUUUGGGACAGCCGGCGCGUAUCACAGCAACGGUCGGAAUAUUUUAGGUUCGAAUUCCUCAGGGCUAUCAUGUUUCUCACUUGGUAGGCAAUCCGCACUGGCGAAUUCCUAACUCUUCAGUCAGAACAAAUUGUUCAGAGACCAGAAGAACUUCGUCUCUGUCACUGAAGAAUAUGGUUGAACUGUGCGAGAUUUCCAAUGGCUUCACUCGAAGGGAUUGGUAGGUGUAGGAUUUGAGUUGAGCAUCACAUGGAAAUUUCUCCUUAGUAUUUCCUCGACCCCCUUUAACAGUACGGUGUUUCCUGUGACUCAAGAAAGAGAAAAUGAAACUAUGAAAACAAAAGUCUUCGCGCUUCAUGUUCCUCGAAUGAAUACCAAGUCUUCAAGGUCACACCAAUUUCUUCAAUUUCAAAGUCUUCAGAAAGUCUUCAGAAAUCCAAAGUCUUCAGUCGAAAAACUUCAUUUUUAGGGGUCGACAUUCUCUGUAAAUAUCAAACUCCUCAUAGACUUAUAGACCUAUGUACACACACAAACGCAUUAGUCUCUUAACCUAUAAGUCUUCAAUACACCAAAUCACUAAGGGGCACUAGAUGCACUUACAAUAUCCCCCUUUUUGGUGAUUGAUGACAAUAUAGGUUAAGUUUUCAACGGGGAUAAACAUGUGAGGUGUAAAUACUGAUAUUGAGGAAUUUGAUUGCAAGAUAUAGAAGAACUCCCCCUGAAGAUGUGCAUCGUGAGGAAUUUGCUUUUGAAGCAAUGCACAGUUGAAGAGUAUAAUCAUGGAGAUCUCCCCCUAUAUCUUGUAAUUCAUACACGCAUAUAAUAUGAGGAAUUUGAAAUGCAUGAUGAAAUAUGGUGACUGAUGUAAUUCAGCAUGUGUACAUUAACAUUAAUGAGGAAUAAGCAUGCAAAAGAACACAGCAAAAGUAUCAAGCCACCAUAGAGUUUAAGAUUACAACUCGAUCCAGCAAAGUCAUCAGAAGAACGAGAGUUGUAACUUAGCGAAAAACGCCCAUAUAAAUAGACCCGCUUGAAGACUAACUCAAAUUUCUCCCCCUUUGUCAUCGAAGACCAAAAGGGUUGAAACUGAGGACUAACGCCCCUGAAGAAUAUCAUGAUGAUGGAGGAGCGCCAGCGUUGUCAGGGUCUUGAGUCGUUGUAGGGCCUGCUGCAGUGUUGUCCAAGUCUUCAUUCUCGUCUGUGGCGCGUGAUGAAGAAUAUGAGCUAGCCACCAAGGAAGGAACCUUGACCUUCUUGAAUUUCUUCGGUGGAGGAGCAGACCAGUCAAAGUCUUCCUUGAAGCCCAUUUGCUUCAGAUCUUCUUCGUCAUAUAGAUGUGACAUAAUAGCCCAGGUGCGAUCAAACACUUCAUGGAGGUAGUAGUGGUUUUUCUUCACUGCAUUAUGUGUGGAAGUCAUGUUGUGAAGAAUAGAGCCAAACUGACGCUUAACCCAUUUGUGAUUCCGAUCGACCUUCUGGUGAAGACUUAUGAGCAGUUCACGGUCAGUCAUCACACGAGGAGCAGUAGCUUGAGGACUUGACUUUGGAGCAUUGGCAGUAGAAUCAUGUGUGGCAGAGUCAUCAUUGGUGGAAUAGGAUGCAGCUUUGCGAAAUUGACCAUCCAAUGGACGAGUGCCUUCAUCGAUCACAGCUGGUGACUUGCCCUUCUCAUCAAAUGAGGAAAUGGUCCACUUGAGGACUUCAAUUGGGGGCACGUAGCUGCCAUGGUUAAAAUUGUCAGCCUUAUAGUUGAGUGAAGUCCUUGAUCUGAGGAAUCUCAUGAUCCAUGGUGCAUAAGGCUUCAACUCAAAUGGUGAUAGUGCAACAUUUGCAAGAGUCCUCAUGAAGAAAUCAUGGUAAUUGAUAGGAAUACCAUGCAUGAUGUUGAAGAGCAUAUUCUUCAUCAUCCCCACAAUUUCUUCAUCUGAAGAAUCAUGUCCUUUGAUUGGGCUGAUAGUCUUCGUCAGGAUGCGGUAUAUGGUUCUUGGCACAUAGAGCAAAUCCUUCACGAGGAAUUUGGUCCUAUGAAUUUGUCCUGGCUUCAGCGGCUUCAUGAGCACUUGCAUAUAAUGAUCAGGAAGUCUAGGUUCAUCAUACAGACAAUGAGCGCCAUCUGGUGGAGGACUGAUUGGCAAGGCACGAAGCAAUUCAGUGGCUGGUGCCUUGUAGUGAGUGUUUUCAGUCAUCCAGUCCAACACCCAAGAGUUGACGUCAGCUGCGUUGCAUGUGAUGUGCAAAGUUGCAUAGAACUGAAGAAUUAGCUCUUCAUUCCAAUCAACGAUGUCAGUGCAGAAAUUCAGCAAGCCUGCAUCGUGAAGCAGACUGAGAACCGGUGUGAAGCAUGGCAUAGAUUCCAUGUCCAUGUAAGGAAUGUGCUCAUGAUCGAAGAUUUUUUCCUUGUCAAAAAGAACUGAGGAAUAGAAGUUGGCUUGGCUGGCAGUCCAGAAACACUUCCUUCUAAGACGAGCAUUGUCAUAGGGGUUGAAUUCAGUGAAGAAUACGUGCUCGCCGAAGAAAUCAUCAGGCUUGAAUUUUGGCUUCCUGGAGAAGGGAUUCUUUGGUUUUGGCUGAGGAGUGUCAGUGAUUUGCAGUAUUACCUCAGGAAUCGCAAUCUCAGGUUCCUCAUGCUGAGGAAUUUCAGUUUCUUCUGCAUCUGCAGCCUGAGUCAUCACUUCUUCGUUCACUGUUUCUUCAGCACUAGUGGCUGGAAUGUCUUCAUGAACAGACGGGGUUGCACGUGGUUCAUCAGAUCCCACUUGUACUUCAGUAGUGGCUGGGGACUGAGGAACAGCUUGGAGAGGAGUGAACAUUGGUGAGUUUGGAUGUUGACUGUCCCAAAAUUCAUCAUUGAGCACAGGAGUGGUACAUCCAAUGUACACAUCCUCAUCGUCAAUUUCUUCAACACCUGCCUCUUCAGCAGUGAACUAAGGCAUAGGUGAGGAAAUGACAGGGGUUGAAGGGAUCGCAUCCACUUCAAUUUCUUCGUCCAACUGCUGUGUCGAAGCAGCAGAUAGAGUUUCUUCAUCAGAUUCCUCGGGAAUCUCAUAUUCUUCACCAUAAGGAACAAGGUCCUUUGAUGGCAUUGAUGAGACGGGAAUGGCAUCAAUUGGAUUGUCAAUUGAACUGGUCAGAGUCUUCAUCUUCUUCGAAGCCGAAGAAUUUGAUGAAGCUGAUGCCUUCCUUUUCUUCAUCACUGCAUGUUCUGCAUCCUUGGUCUUCUUCACAUCAAGAGCAGAUGGAAGGAUAGGAGUUGGUGUAGGCGCAGGAGGUGCAUUUUCUUCAGGAGCAACUGUUGCAGUUGCCCUGACUUGUUCAUUUUCCUCAGGCGCAUCACUAGCGGAUGCCCUGGCAAUAUCAUCAGCGGCUGGAAUGGAGUCAUCGGCCCUGGUAUUCUCACUUUCUUCAGCAGCCAUACUGACAUUAGCAGUGCUGGCAUGUUCUUCAGUAGGCUGAGUAGAUUCUUCAGCCUGAGGAAUUUCAACAUGCACUGGUGCAGAGGCAGUUGAAGAGAAAGUCUUCAUCAAGUUGACAAAACAAACCGUUGCUCCCUUCCAAUCAGCAUGAUACCAAUUGAAAUCAUCACUCAGUUGCUUGAUUUCAGCUUGUACAACAAUGAGUUGUUCGGGGGUAAGAGUGAGGACAUUGUCCUUGAGGAAGCGCUGUUUCUUGUAUUGCGCUUUCUUCAGCCUUCGUCCUUCUUCAUAUUUCCAUUUCUCUUCCUCAAUGAAGUGAGUGAGAACAUGGCUUUGACCAGGAGUGAGGUUCAACUCUGGCAGAGGCGUGUUAGGGUCCUUGUGCCAUAAGUCAAUGAAGUCGAGGAUCAACUUUGGAUCCAAUAGUAGUGGCACAUUGCUUCCUUUGGCUCUAGCGGCCCUGGCUUGCCUGUCUCUGAUGAUUUUAGCAAGUUCAUCAUCAUCCACCUCAUCAUCAUCAGAGCGCACUUGGAAAGCGACUUGCUUCUUGUGAGGACUUGGUCGAGUACCUCGUCCAGCAGUGGCCUUUUGCUUCAGCAGUGAGGGACCAGCUGAGGAAGGUCGAGGAGCUGAGGAGCUUGCAGAUGCUCUUGAGUCAAUAGAGAAGCCUUGAGUCCUUUGGCACGUGGCAAGAUGCACAGGUGCCGAAGAUUUUGUCGGAGCAGUUGAAGACUUUGUUUGAGGAGGAGGAGGAGCAGACUGAGGAAUUUGCCGUGAGGGCUUUGAAGAUGCUGGCCGUGAGGGCAUUUCUGAGGAGCUUGGCGGUGAGGGCAUUGAUGGAGAAGCAUUGGAUUUGUGGGCAGGCUUCUUUGGCAUAGCCUUCUUGGGCUUACUACCAGAUGCCUCAGCAGCGUUAGCAGCAGCAGCAGAAUCUUCAUUGAAUUUCCUCACUGCUUCUUUUUCUUGCUUGGCUAGUUUGGCCUGGCGCCUAGACCAUUCAGUAGCAUAGUCCUCACCGCGCUUGAGGCUGGUGGGAUCUACCAGUUGGCCAGGCCUCAAUGGAGGUCUUGAGCAUGGAGGGAUGAGCGCGAAUUUCUUCAUGUACUUGGGAGUAACAUAUCUGUACUCCCUCCAUUCUCGUGCCCAUCUCCUCUCAAUUCGUUGUAUGCGCACUUUGCGCUGAUUCUUGUCCUCCUUGCCAAACUUGGCCUCAUCUGGAGUGCAAUAUCCAACAUAUAUAUCCUCAGGGAUUUCAAACGUUGUGUUGACCUUGGGCCUUUUUCCUCCCUUCUGUGGCUUCUUGCUGUCAGCCAUUUUCUUCAGCUGAGGAUUAACAACAGAAGUUUCUGAAGAUGUAUGCAACUUUUCUUCAAGGAACGUUGCAAAUGAGUUAAGUUGAUGAGAACCUAGUGAUUCAGCAGCGGGCAUUUGUACCUGUGAACAGAGUAUAGUUGCGAGGAAUUUGGAGAGGUCAUAUGCGUUCUCAGAAGAUUUUCAAAAAGAGAAUAGGUUUGAGGAAUUUGACUGAUGAGUCUUGAAGAAUUUCGCUAAGCGUUUUUUAUCUUAGGUUCCAGAGUUGUACAGAUUUGAAAAUCCACACAAUUGAGGAAUCUUGAAGAAAAUCAUUGCUUAGAGAAACGGAUCAAGAACAGAUAACAUGUGAGGUGUUUAGUGUGUGAAGAUUGAAUAAUAAACACCUUUGAAGAUUUUUAGGAAAACACAUGAAUCAAAGCGGGCAAUAAAAGUAACUUUUAAUUACCCGAAGUGAAGAACACGACGAACUGAGAAGUGUUGAGGUGAAGUUCGUCCGUUCAGAUCUUCCACGCCCUAACUCGGCAGAGGAAGACGGCUACGGCGGCGGCGGAGUGAAGAAAUCCGCAACCGCCGCGAGUACGACGGCGACGAGGUUGAGGCAGUGAAGCUCUUCCUCACCGGCGACGAUGAAGUAGCGGCGGCGCUAGGGUUUGGGAAGCUCGAGCGGGAGAGAGAGGUCGAGCGGAGUAAAAGUGAAGUGAAGAGAAGACAUGGGUAUUUAUAGCGGCAGUGAAAAACUGUGCGCCCGAGGAUUUCAAACGAACGUGCCCCUGGCUUUUCCCAUUCACAUGACAUGUGUCACCCACGUACCGUGAGGUGGCGAUCGUGUAGGAUCAUGGGUGAAUAGAUAAGUAUUUGUCGUGAGAAGCGGAACGGUUUGAGCGGCCAAGCCGAAAAUUUAGAUAAGAUAAGUUUUAAGUUACCGUUCGCAAUUUCUUCAGCUGUCAAGGACACAGUGAAGAUUUUGAACGAGUUUCAAAUCAGACCGCACAUGAAGAAUUUGUGAAUAGACUGGGUUGAGUUUAGCAUAGAGGGGGAAGGGUCCGAUCACAUUCACUUAGCAAAAAAGUCAGCUUGAAAAAAUAGCAAUANNNNNNNNNNNNNNNNNNNNNNNNNNNNNNNNNNNNNNNNNNNNNNNNNNNNNNNNNNNNNNNNNNNNNNNNNNNNNNNNNNNNNNNNNNNNNNNNNNNNNNNNNNNNNNNNNNNNNNNNNNNNNNNNNNNNNNNNNNNNNNNNNNNNNNNNNNNNNNNNNNNNNNNNNNNNNNNNNNNNNNNNNNNNNNNNNNNNNNNNNNNNNNNNNNNNNNNNNNNNNNNNNNNNNNNNNNNNNNNNNNNNNNNNNNNNNNNNNNNNNNNNNNNNNNNNNNNNNNNNNNNNNNNNNNNNNNNNNNNNNNNNNNNNCAAACGACGGAAAUAGUGAAGACAUUGCAAGUUGAUGAAUUUGAAAAACUGAGGAAUUUCAAGAAAUGAGGAAAAACUCAAAUUUGAAGAUUUUUAACUUUUGUGGUGGCGUAACCCACCGUAUAAGAAAGUUGGCUUCAGACACCGCGUACAAUUGUCGUAGGGCUCUGAGAGUCAAUUUCUUCAUUAAUUUCUUCACACUUAGAGGGUUAGUCUUCAUUGAUUGAAGAAAAACGUUACUUCGUGUGUUGCGCAUCUAAGUCAUCAAGUCAGCAUAGGUGUUAGGAUGAGUGUCCUAUUUCAGAGAAUAUUCGAAGAUUCUAGGAUAUUUAGCUCACACCGCAACUUGCUAAAUCUCUUCUCAUCCAAGGGCUUAGUGAAAAUAUUGACCAGCUGAUCUUCAGUUCUUGCAUGGCAGAUGGAGAUAUCGCCCUUCAACACAUGAUCGCGAAGAAAAUGAUGAUGAAUCUAGAUGUGCUUUGUCUUUAAGUGUUGAACUGGGUUGCGAGAAAUCUUGAUUGCGCUUUCAUUGUCGCAGUAGAGAGGCACAUUCUUCACGUCGAUGCCAUAGUCCUUGAGAGUUUGCUUCAUCCAUAAUAAUUGAGCAUAGCAUGAUCCAGCAGCAAUGUACUCAGCUUCUGCAGUGGAGAGAGAUACACAGUUCUGUUUCUUCAAGGACCAACAGACCAAAGAUCGUAUGAGGAAAUGGCAUGUGCCUGAUGUUGACUUGCGGUCCAUGCGAUCGCCAGCAUAGUCAGAGUCUGAAUAUCCAACGAGAUCAAAUAAGGAGCCCUUGGGAUACCAUAAUCCAAGUGUUGGUGUGUGAGCUAGAUAUCGAAGAAUAUGCUUCACAACCUUAUGGUGUGAUUCCUUCGGUGUAGCUUGAAAUCGGGCACACAUGCAAACACUGAGCAUAAUAUCUGGCCUAGAUGCACAUAGGUACAAUAAAGAGCUAAUCAUGGAGCAGUAUACCUUUUGAUCGAAGUCUUGACCAUUUUCAUCAAUGCAUAGAUGGCCAUUUGUGGGCAUUGGAAUUUUGACCCCUUUGCAAUCUUGCAUGCCGAAUUUCCUCAAUACUUCUUUGAGGUUCUCCACGAUAUGAAUAUACCAUUGCGCUGUUGACGAAUUUGAAGACCUAAAAAGAAUUUCAACUCUCCCAUCAUAGACAUUUGAUAUUCUUCACUCAUCAUAUAGGCAAAUUCAUCACUAUAACGUUGGUUAGUACAGCCAAAGAUAAUAUCAUCAACAUAUAUUUGGCACACAAACAGUUCACCAUCAUAAGAUUUAGUGAAAAGAGUUGGGUCGAGUGAACCGGGUUUGAAGCCAUUCUUCAUGAAGAAUUCCUUCAAAGUGUCAUACCACGCCCGAGGGGCUUGCUUGAGGCCAUACAUGGCCUUGUUGAGUCUGAAGACUUUGUCGGGAUUCUUUGGAUCUUCAAAACCUAGGGGCUGAGCAACAUAUACUUCUUCCUCAAUCUUACCAUUGAGGAAUGCACUUUUCACAUCCAUUUGUUGUAAGAUAAUAUCAUGAUGGUUAGCAUAAGCAAGUAAUAUGUGAAUAGCCUCAAGUCUAGAAACAGGUGCAAAAGUUUCAUCGAAAUCAAUUCCUUCAACCUGUGUGUAGCCUUGAGCUACAAGCCGUGCCUUAUUCCUCACCACAAGGCCAUUUUCAUCUUGCUUGUUGCGGUAGAUCCACUUUGUGCCAAUGAUGUUGUGCUUGCGAGGAUCCGGACGUUUGACCAGUUCCCAGACAUUGUUGAGCUCGAACUGAUGUAAUUCUUCUUGCAUAGCCUGAAUCCACUCAGGCUCCAGAAAUGCUUCAUCUACCUUAGUGGGCUCUACGAUAGAGACAAAAGCAAAGUGCCCACAAAAGUUAGAUAAAUGUGAAGAUUUUGAGCCAGUGAGAGGACCUGGUGCUUCAAUGUCAUCAAUGAUCUUCUCAAUUUGCACUUCAUUAGCGAUGCGAGGAUGAGUGGGUUGUCUUCGAGGAAUUUGAUCAGCAUUCCCUUCAGGUGCAUUUUCUUCAGCACCAUUUUCUUCAGGUGCGCCAGCUCGGUAAUCAUUACGAUCAGGAAUGAAUUCUUCAGUAUUUUCUUUGGUAGGAAUAACAUCCUCAGUAGCCUUGAACUUGAUAGAAUCUUCAGGUGUUGGUUCAUCUAUCACAGAAGGUAGGUGCUCUCUUUGCGAGCCAAUAGUUUCAUCGAACCGCACAUCUACAGAUUCAACAACUUUGUAAAGAACAUUGUUGAAGACUCUAUAGGUGUGCGAGUCCUUUCCAUAACCAAGCAUAAAACCUUCAUGUGCUUUCGGUGAGAAUUUAGAUGAGUGAUGAGGAUCUCUAAUCCAACAUUUUGCAUCGAAGACUUUGAAAUAACUCACAUUUGGCUUUUUGUUAGUGAGGAGUUCAUAAGUAGUUUUCUUGAAGAAUUUGUGAAGAUAUACCCUGUUGAUGACGUGGCACGCAGUAUCAAUUGCCUCAAUCCAGAAGCGACGAGGCGUCUUGUAUUCAUCAAGCAUAGUGCGAGCCAUUUCAGCGAGGGUUUUGUUCUUGCGCUCCACGACGCCAUUCUGCUGAGGAGUAUAAGGAGCAGAUAACUCAUGAGUAAUACCAAGUUCAUCAAGAUAGCCAUCAAGACCGGAAUUCUUGAACUCGGUCCCAUUGUCAGUUUUAUGUGCUUGAUCUUCACACCAAAGUUGGUUGAAGCCCUCGAGGAAAAUCGUUUGAAUAUUUCCUGCACUUCAUGUUUGUAAGUGACAAUGUGUACCCAUGUGUAACGAGAAUAGUCAUCAACAAUAACAAAGCGAUAUAGAGAUGCAUCAUUUGAAACAGCAGAAUAAUGAUUAGGACCAAAAAGAUCCAUGUGAAGCAAUUCAAAUGGUCGAGUGGUGGUCAUGAUAGUCUUAGCUGGAUGCUUGUCCUUUGUCAUCUUUCCAGCUUCACAAGCUCCGCAUAAGUUAUCCUUGAGGAAUUUGACAUUCUCAAUGCCAAUGACAUGCUUCUUCUUCGCAAGCGUGUUCAGAUUCCUCAUGCUAGCAUGACCAAGUCGUCGAUGCCAUAGCCAGCCUUCUAAAGCUUUUGCAAGUAAGCACACAGCUGGUUGUGGUCCUGUAGAGAAAUCAACGAUAUACAUAUCUCCUCUCCUAAAGACUUUGAAGACUUUGGAAUGGUCAGCUUCCAUGAUCACAACACAACGAUAUCUUCCAAAGACAACAACCAUAUCGAGAUCACAAAGCAUUGAGAAAGACACGAGGUUGUAUCCUAAGGACUCGACAAGCAUGACUUUGUCCAUGUGUCGAUCCUUUGAGAUCGCAACCUUACCUAGACCCAAUACCUGACUUUUGCAUUUGUCAGCGAAGAUGAUAUGCUUCAGAUGUGAUGUGAUAAAGGAGCAUCCAUCAAUAGAUUCUUGUCACCUGUCAUGUGAUUUGUAAAUCCACUAUCGAGGACCCACUCAUUUGCUUUGGGCUGAUCAUCCUGUAGAUGAAUUAGUGCAGCUUACGAACUCAUAUACUUCAUCAUUGAAGAAUAUGACAUCAAUAUCAUCAGUUCUAUUUCAUCAAGCAAUAGCACAGAUAAAACAUUAUGAGGACGUGAGAAAUGAAAAUUCAUUUCUUCAUGAUUAGCCUGCGUCCUUUCAGGCACUGUUCAGGUCUCCAGCAAAUUCUUCAGACGUUUUGAGCAUGUCUGGAGACCUGACCCUGCAUUAGAGACUAGUUCUUUUUCUUCACCACCCACAUCUGAAGGGAUGGCAAAGAGUUCAUCACUCUGCGAGCACCAUAUGAGAAAGGUGGCAUAGAAGCUAGUCCACUUCAUUUCACAUAAGAGAGGUUAGGCUAAGCAUAUGAAUAAGCAUAGAAAUUCUUCGAGGACUUAUGAACAUAAUGAUUUGAAGAAUAAUGUGCAUAUUCAUAGCCCUUAGCUCUACCCUACGAAACAGAAGGGUUAGUAUGACGACGAUCAUAUGAGAACUUUGAUCUACUUGAGGAAUUUGAUCCAUGUGAAGAAUUAGGUCCAUACGAAGAAUUGGAUUUGGGGUUCCUGUUCUUCAUAGGUGGUGUCAUGAGGACAUUCACCUGAAGACUUUCAAGAUAACUUUUGGGAACCCAGAUUUUCUUCAUAGGGGAACCAUUCCUGCAGUUAGUGCCAAUAUAUCUAGCAAAUACUUCGCCAUUCUGAUUUUUUAACAGUUUAUAGUUAGAGUCAAAUGACUCAUCAAAAGAAUGAGGAGAUUCACAUGUAAAGCUAGAUAAGUUGGUUGGAUCAACUGGAGGUCCCUUUGCAGCAACCCAUGAGGUUUUGGGGUACUGCUCAGGCUUCCAAUAUGUUCCAUCAGCAUUGAGUUUCCUCUCAAAGGCAAUACCCUCUUUCCUAGGGUUUCUGUUGAGGAUCUGCUUUUUGAGCACAUCACAAAGAAUCUGAUGUCCUUUGAGGCUUUCGUACAUGUCUGUCGUGUACAAUUCCUUCAGCCCUGCAUCAUUAGUAGUACUAGCAAUGUCCUCAGAUGAGGAAUUAGUGAUAGCAGAGACAGGUGAAGAAUUUGUAACAUUUGAAGCAUUUGAACAUUCAGGUGAAGAAUUAGCAGAUUCACGUUCAAUGCACUUUAGACAUGGAGAAACAAAUUCUUCCUGAGUAGUGUUGAUUUGUUGAGCAAGUAAUGAAUCGCGCUCCUUCUGAAGAUCUUCAUAACUCACUCUUAGCUUCUCAAGAUCUUGCUUUCUUUGAAGAGGUUCAAGAGAAAGCUUCUCGUGAUCAGAUAAGAGAGCAUUAUGAUGACCUUGGAGAUCGUCAAACUUGGAAUGGAGUCCCUGAAGACUUUCAGCCAAGGCUUUUGACUGAUCCAUUUCUUCACCCAACAUAUCAUUGCUCUUAUUUAGCAUGUAUUGAACUUUUUCCAAAGCUCUUUGUUGUUUAGUGGCAAGGGAAGCAAGUUUAACAUAGUUAGGUCCAAAUUCAUCGCCAGAUUCAUCAUCACUAGACUUGGAUAGGUAGCAUUCGGUUACCUUAGCAUUGUUUGCCAUAAGGCAGGGGGUGGACGAUGAUGAUUCUAGUUCGAAUGUCAUCUCUUUGAGAGAUUCCUUGUAAUCCUCAAACCAAGGAUCAUGACGAGUUCGAUGUCCAUCAUAGACCUUAGAGAGACGGUCCCAGAUUAGCUUCGCGUGAUUGAGAUGCAUGACGUUCCUGAACUGAUUUCGGGACAGACUUGAGCAGAUGACAUCCUUCGCUGUGAGGUUGAGUAGAGUGUACUUGCGAAUGUCAUCAGCCUCAGCCAUCUUGCAUAGAUUGGUAAUACCGAUCUUGGUGACGGUCCACAGUUUGCUGUCCAUAGCCAUGAGUCGCUUCUUCAUCAUGGCCUUCCACCAAGGAUACUCAUGACCGUCAAAGAUGGGGCAGGAAACAUUCCUCGAUCCUACAGUCGACAUAACUAGAACUCCAGGUGGUUAAACCAAAAUCACACAGAACAAGGGAGUACCUUGCUCUGAUACCAACUGAAAGUGCGUUAUAUCGACUAGAGAGGGGUGAAUAGGCGAUUUUUAUGAAUUCUUCACCGAGGAAUUUGCUGGUGAGGAAAUUCCUAAAUGAAGAACUACUUGCAGCGGAAUAAGUACUCAGAAAGGAACAUAACAGAACACAAGCAUGGUCAUCAUGAUGAAAUGAAGAAAAACACAAAGUACAAAAAGCGUAAACACAGGAUAACAUAAGGAAGAAGAAGAACAGGUUGAAGAAAUAGAGCUGAGGAAAUUGAGAAAGUCUUCAGUCAAAGUCUUCAAACAGAUAUGAACAGGCACACAACAACAUACAUGAGGAAUUUAAAGAGUUGAGGAAAUAGAACCAGACUCGUUGAAGACAAUGAUUUGGUAGACCAGUUCCAACUGCUGUCUCAGUGGUACAUCUAGUUGGAGCGGCUGAGUAUUUAAACUUGAGGACACCCAGUCCCGGACACACAGUCCUCACCGUAUUGUCCUUGAGCUAAGGUCACACAGACCUCACCCAAUCACUCAUGGUAAGUCUUCAGGUGACUUCCGAACCUUCACAAACUCGGUCACUCGGCGAUCCACAAUUCCUCUUGGAUGCUCUAGACCUUGACGCCUAACCGUCUGGAAGAAGCACAGUCUUCAAAGGAAACAAGCGUCGGAUCCACGUAGGAUCAAUCUCUUCAGUGAUGCUCAAUCACUUGGGGUUUUGUAGGUUUGGGUUUGGGAUUUCCUCACUUGAUGAUUUUCACUCAAAGUCCUCGAAGGAUGGGUUGCUCUCAAAUGACAAGUGUCAGUUUCUCUCGGAGAAGCCAACCAACUAGUGGUGGUAGGGGGCGGCUAUUUAUAGCCUAGGGAGCAGCCCGACAUGAUAAGACAUAAAUGCCCUUGUCUGAUAUGACCGUUAGGUGGGUAGAUAUUUUGGGACAGCUGGCGCGUAGCACAGCAACGGUCGGAAUAUUUUAGGUUCAAAUUCCUCAGGGCUAUCAUGUUUCUCACUUGGUAGGCAAUCCGCACUGGCGAAUUCCGAACUCUUUAGUCAGAACAAAUUGCUCAGAGACCAGAAGAACUUCGUCUCUGUCACUGAAGAAUAUGGUUGAACUGUGCGAGAUUUCCAAUGGCUUCACUCGAAGGGAUUGGUAGGUGUAGGAUUUGAGUUGAGCAUCACAUGGAAAUAUCUCCUUAGUAUUUCCUCGACCCCCUUUAACAGUACGGUGUUUCCUAUGACUCAAGAAAGAGAAAAUGAAACUAUGAAAACAAAAGUCUUCGCGCUUCAUGUUCCUCGAAUGAAUACCAAGUCUUCAAGGUCACACCAAUUUCUUCAAUUUCAAAGUCUUCAGAAAGUCUUCAGAAAUCCAGCUAUGUGGGCAGAGGUUGCGAGGUCGAAGCCCCACACAUCCCCAACCACCCCCAAAUAUUUUUUAUGAGGAACCUGUCCUCCCCUCUUUGAAACAAGGGGCUCUUCUGGUUCUGUGUGUGCUUCAAACAAUUUUAUCUUCUUCAUAUUGAGAAUGUAUCAUGUGCACCCGACAAACUGGUGCACCAGGUGCUCUGGUGGAUAAUGAGCCUUUGGAUUUAAAAGAUAGGGACAGAAUGCGGCGCAAAAGGGAGCCCCUGGUGCUUUUACACAUUUACCCUUGAAGUGUAACUGAAUUCUGCAUCCACCCCCUCUCCAAUCGUCUCUCUUCAUCUGUUCUUCUUUCCUCUGCCACCGUACGCUAUGGGAGUAUGGUUAGAGAAAAUAUUGCUCGAUGUCAUCUCACUCCCUAUCCUUUCUCUCCUCCCUCUCCUUUACCUAGGGUAGGAUCUCCUGCAUGAAGCUUAACUGCACUCUACGCUCGCCUGAAUCGACUUUGUGGAUUGACAGAUUGAUUUAGGCAGCGUCGGUCCAUGACGUCGAUUCUGUAGUGCUUUGGGAGUUAAGGUUGCUUCCGCGAUUCAUAUAUCAAGGGUAUGUUCUCUUGUUCCCUUACCCUUGAGUUCUAACUGUAUUUUGGUUCUUCCAAUAUGAUCAUAAUUUUUCCCCAUUCAUUUGAAACAAGUGGCAUUGGGAAUAAUAAUAUUAUAUGCAUUGAUUAGAUGUACGAUCUAAAACUGUAAGGAUAAAAUUUUAAUCUCAAUUGCAGCAUUUGAAAGUGUGUUAUAUCGACUAGAGGGGGGUGAAUAGGCAAUUUUUAUGAAUUCUUCACUGAGGAAUUUGCUGGUGAGGAAAUUCCUAAAUGAAGAACUACUUGCAGCGGAAUAAGUACUCAGAAAGGAACAUAACAGAACACAAGCAUGGUCAUCAUGAUGAAAUAAAGAAAAGCACAGAGUACAGAAAGCGUAAACACAGGAUAACACAAGGAAGAAGACGAACAUACUGAAGAAAUAGAGCUGAGGAAAUUGAGAAAGUCUUCAGUCAAAGUCUUCAAACAGAUAUGAACAGGCACACACCAAAAUACAUGAGGAAUUUAAAGAGUUGAGGAAAUAGAACCAGUAAACUCGGUGAAGACAAUGAUUUGGUAGACCAGUUCCAACUGCUGUCUCAGUUGUACAUCUGGUUGGAGCGGCUGAGUAUUUAAACUCGAGGACACCCAGUCCCGGACACACAGUCCUCACCGUAUUCUCCUUGAGCUAAGGUCACACAGACCUCGCCCAAUCACUCGUGGUAAGUCUUCAGGUGACUUCCGAACCUUCACAAACUCGGUCACUCGGCGAUCCAUAAUUCCUCUUGGAUGCUCUAGACCUUGACGCCUAACCGUCUGGAAGAAGCACAGUCUUCAAAGGAAACAAGCGUCGGAUCCACGUAGGAUCAAUCUCUUCAGUGAUGCUCAAUCACUUGGGGUUUUGUAGGUUUGGGUUUGGGAUUUCCUCACUUGAUGAUUUUCACUCAAAGUCCUCGGAGGAUGGGUUGCUCUCAAAUGACAAGUGUCAGUUUCUCUCGGAGAAGCCAACCAACUAGUGGUUGUAGGGGGCGGCUAUUUAUAGCCUAGGGAGCAGCCCAACAUGAUAAGACAUAAAUGCCCUUGUCUGAUAUGACCGUUAGGUGGGUAGAUAUUUUGGGACAGCCGGCGCGUAGCACAACAACGGUCGGAAUAUUUUAGGUUCGAAUUCCUCAGGGCUAUCAUGUUUCUCACUUGGUAGGCAAUCCGCACUGGCGAAUUCCUAACUCUUCAGUCAGAACAAAUUGCUCAGAGACCAGAAGAACUUCGUCUCUGUCACUGAAGAAUAUGGUUGAACUGUGCGAGAUUUCCAAUGGCUUCACUCGAAGGGAUUGGUAGGUGUAGGAUUUGAGUUGAGCAUCACAUGGAAAUUUCUCCUUAGUAUUUCCUCGACCCCCUUUAACAGUACGGUGUUUCCUAUGACUCAAGAAAGAGAAAAUGAAACUAUGAAAACAAAAGUCUUCGCGCUUCAUGUUCCUCGAAUGAAUACCAAGUCUUCAAGGUCACACCAAUUUCUUCAAUUUCAAAGUCUUCAGAAAAUCUUCAGAAAUCCAAAGUCUUCAGUCGAAGAACUUCAUUUUUAGGGGUCGACAUUCUCUGUAAAUAUCAAACUCCUCAUAGACUUAUAGACCUGUGUACACUCACAAACGCAUCAGUCUCUUAACCUAUAAGUCUUCAAUACACCAAAAUCACUAAGGGGCACUAGAUGCACUUACAUCAUUAAGAUUGGAAAUAGACUAAUGAGGUGCUUUCUUGCCCUUCAUAUUUAUAAAUGUUUCUGACAUAAUUGUUAGUAGUACUUUUAUAUGAAGAAAUAGGUACCUAAGAGAUUGAUUACAGGUCGGCGAUACAUUAUUCGUUACACGACUCUUGUGAUUCAUUGGAAUGUGCAUGUUUUCAGAACAAUUACUAGUUGUUAAUGUACAUGAAUGCACUACUAGGGAAAACCUUAUACAUAGAAUCUUAGCAACAACGCGGCUCAAAAAGAGGCGCUACUGCUACUUAGCAGUAGCGAUCUUCAGAAAAGCGCACUGCUGAUGAAAAUUUAGUAGUAGCGCUUGAUGGAUAAACCGUGCUGCUACAAAAAUGUACCGACAGAACCCAACAACCUCAGUUUACCAGCAGUGCAGUGGUGCGAUGCGCGCUAUUGCUAAAGCAAUAGUAAUAGCGCGCUUUUUUGUCACGUCGCUGCUGCUAAUUUUGAAAUUGUCCUCAAGGUUGGCCCGUUUAGCAGUAGCUCGUGUUUGUAAAGCGCGUUGCUGCUACACCCUUAGCAGUAGCGCUCUUUUCCUCCCGUGCUACUGCUAAGGCGCAGCACCCCACCACCUUUUCCCCACCCGUCCUCCCCUCCCCAUCUCCUCUCCUCCCUUUCCCCCACCUCCCACAUCCUCCCUCUCUCACUCUUCUUCUCCCUCAAGACUUCUCCCCCAUUACUCUCCCUCUUAUACCUACCUUUCUCUCUCUUCAUUACUCCUAGCUAACUACACCACCUCCAUUAAUGCAUCUCAUUUAUCUUUAUCCUUCCCUCCACUAGUUGAAGUUGUCUCCUCCCAAAUUGGCUAGCUAGGUAGAUGUAGCAUUUAUUCAAGUGACCUAUUUGCCCCCUAACUAGAUCUAUCUUUGUCAAGAAGAGCUUUGUGCACUUUUGAUCUCUCUACAUCAUCAUCUCCACCGUGUGCUCGAUCUCGAGAUAGAGGUGAUUAAAAUUUCAUGCUUUUGCAAAAUGGAAAUAUGUGUAUGUGUGUGUGAUAUGAUAAUUGGGCAAUAUUAUAGAAAUUGUGUGUGUGGCAUGAGUUGACGCCAAAUUGUGCUUUUGAGUUACCUAUGUUUUGCCGAAAUGUCAAUUUAUUUCUGUUUCGGCGAAUUCCGGGCAAACUCUAGAUCUAUAUAUGUCCUAUUUUUAGGGAAGGUCAUGCCGAAUUUUUGUAUGAAUUUGAUGCAUGCACGCAUUUUUAUAAUCAAUUUGUUUUUUAUUACCGUGCAGGCGUUCAUGCUGGUCAGUGGAACAAUGGUGGACAGGUGGUUGCGGUCGGCGGUGCAGUACAUGAAAGAACAUAACCGGACAGAGGUUUUAUGUCCGUGUCAAAAAUGCAAAGGAAUAGUUUGGCUCGACCCCUAUGACGAUGGUCGUGUCGAAGCGCACCUGCUCAUGACUGGUUUCAUGGAUGGCUAUACUCGGUGGAUAAUUGAAGAUGAGGAUGACGAUGUUGAGGACGCCGACGGGGCAGUCAAUGAUGACACUAGGCAAGAUGAAGAGAUGGUCGAUAAUGGCGGUAGGGAAGAGGCCGGACAUGGCAGCAGAGAAGGGGACGAACAUGGCGGAGGAGAAGGGGCCGAACAUGGCGGCGGAGAGAACAACAUGGACUCCACGCAGCAGAGUUCGUCGGUACUAAGUUCAAUCGUGCGGGACCCUCAUGUUCAAGCAUUGCUUCGCAACGGAGACAAAUACUGAAAGAGCUGCUUCUAGAGAGGGGGCUAAGCUGGAGCAACUGGUUGUAGACUCGAACACUCCAUUGUAUGAUGGUUGCAAUCCUGAGGUGACCCGCUUGAGUUUCACGCUCCAACUCCUGAAGACGAAGGCUAAAAACAAAUGGACCGACACUAGCCUCGAUGAGCAUCUCAAGUACCUAAAGGAUGUUCUUCCCGCGGGGAAUCUAUGUCCAACUAGUGUUGAUGAGGCCAAGAAGAUCGUGUGCCCUCUUGAUCUUCCGCAUGUUAGAUACCAUGCAUGCAUCAACGAUUGCAUAAUUUAUCGAAAGGAGCACGCGGAAAAAACAAGCUGUUCGGUGUGCAAUGCUUCUCGAUACAAGAAGGCCAAGAAGAAAUGUCCCCAGAAAGUUGUAUGGUACUUACCGAUCACUCCCCGUCUCCAGCGGUAUUUUGUAGAUUCCAAGGAAGCAAAGCUAAUGCGCUGACACAUGGAGAGGAAGAAGCCCGACAAUGGAGAUGAUCCGAAGCUGAGACACGUCAAGGAUGGAAGCCAGUGGAGAGCGUUGAACAGCUUCUAUUAGUAUUUCGAAUGUGAUGCAAGGAACAUCAUGCUCGGCGCGUGUACCGAUGGCAUGAAUCUGUUUGGCAACCAGAACACCAACCAUAGCACAUGGCCCGUGUUUGUAUGGAUGUACAACCUCCCCCCUGGUUGUGCAUGAAGUCGAAGUACAUUCACAUGAGCAUGCUUAUUCAAGGGCCGAAACAACCAGGAAAUAAUAUUAACUUGUAUCUGGGGCUACUUCAAGAGGAGUUAGACACGUUAUGGAAAACACCGGCCAAGACAUGGGACGCCAGCAAAGGCGAGUAUUUCUACAUGAGAGCCGCACUGAUCAUGACAGUGCACGACUAUCUAGGUUACGGAUAUGUCGCAGGCCAGGUGUGCCAUGGAUAUUGCGGAUGCACGCGGUGCAUGGAUGGUACGACGUCUCAGCAGCUAACGUCAGGAAAGAUGGCGGGUCUAGGAAAAUCGUGUACAUGGGGCAUCGAAGAUGGCUCGAACAGGACAACCCGUGGAGAAACCGUGGAGAUCUAUUCAAUGGUCACGCUGAGCAUCGAGGACCUCCACGUAAGCGGAGCGGUGCCGAAAUCGAUGAGCUGUUGAAAAACUGGAAAGAGUGCCCCGCGCCGGGAAAGACGAUGAGAAAGGCGCCGAAGCCGCUGCUGAAGGUAUGGAAGACGAGGUCUAUGUUCUGGGACUUGGAGUACUGGCACAAACUCGAUACACUUCAUUGCCUUGAUCAAAUGCAUAUCUGUAAGAAUGUCCUUGAGAGCUUGCUCACGACACUGAUGAACAUGCCGGAUAAGACCAAGGAUGGGCCAAAGGCAAGAAAAGACUUGCAAGAUUUGAAAAUCAGGGAAGAUCUGCACAUGCCGCCCCAUAAAAUGUCAGACGAGACAGAGAUGGAGACAAAUGCACGGGAGAAGGAGGGCAAGAAAAUAAAGAAAGAGGAUUAUUGCCCCCCUUCUUGCUUCACCUUAAGUCAGGCUGAGAUCGGUCAAUUCUUUAAGUGCCUUACCGGAGUCAAAGUUAGUUCCGGUUAUUGUGGCAAGAUAAGCAGAUAUCUAGACACGGACAAGAAAAGGUUCAGCGGGAUGAAGUCCCAUGACUAUCAUGUGAUGAUGACGCAGAUACUACCUGUUAGCCUUAGAGGGAUAAUGGACAAGCACGUCCAUGACACGCUUAUUGGUCUCUGCAACUUUUUCGACAUCAUCUCUCGAAAGUCGAUCAGUGUGAAGCAGCUCCAAAGGCUACAGGAAGAGAAUGUUGUGAUACUGAAUGAGCUUGAGAUGUACUUCCCGCCCGUGUUCUUUGACGUGAUGGCGCAUCUGUGUGUCCAUAUUGUGGACGACAUAAUAGACCUAGGGCCGUCAUUUCUGCACAACAUGAUGUCGUUUGAGAGGAUGGAUGGGAUCAUCAAAGGAUUCAUUCGUAACAUGUCCCGUCCAGAUGGAAGCAUCGUCCAGGGCUAUCUGACACAAGAGUGCAUCUCUUUCUGUGAGAAUUUUCUAUAUGGUGCAGACCUGCAGCCGCCUGGUGUUAGUGUUGGUUUGCCUAUUAACAAGCACGAUGGGAGGCUCGAAGGAGAAGGUCACUCCAACUGUCGCAGGGAACUGCACGUGGCAUACUCAGAUCGACGUAGCGACUUUGACAGAGCAAACUUGGUAGUGCUACAACACCUAGAUGAGGUAGAUCCUUUCGUGGCACUGCACAAAGAAAUUAUCGCAAAGAAGUAUCGUGGCCGGGGGUAUGCAGGACAGACGCCGAAGUUACUAGAGAGCACAACUCCACUUUCCUGCAUUGGUUCAAAGAACAUAUUAUUGCUAAUCCCCUAGAGGAGGGCUCUAAGGACGGAUUGCUCAUAUAUGCCUUAGCACAUGGCCCCUCGCCCAACCUCGUAACCUAUCAGGCAUACGAUAUCAACGGAUACACGUUCUACACGGAGGCCAAAGAUAUAGACAGUGAUGAUCAAAACUCAGGGGUGACGAUGGAAUGCAUGACCUGCAGCGAUAACGGCGCAACUGAAAGAUUUUACAGAAGGGUCGAGGAGAUCUGGGAGCUUGACUAUGCUGGACUGCACAACACGAUGAUGUUCCGUGUCAGAUGGGCUAAGAAUGUCGAAAGAGAAAACCGGAAUUUCACUACCAUGAAUAUAACCGACGCCAAGAGCGCUACCGUAAACGCUAUGGCAAAAAACGAGCCACAGUUACACGCUAAGCAUGUUACACAAUGCUUCUUCAUAACCGACCCGUGCAAUCCCAGCCGUGUUGUCGUGAGGAGAGCCAAAAGGAAAUCAUUGGAAUGGAUGGAGUCGCCAACGAGGAAGAUUACGAUCAGUACGGCAACCCAAUGAGGGAAGAUAACGAUGAUGCUGAAGUAUACGUCAAAAGAAGAAUCAAUACUACAUUACCUAAGAAAAAUCGUACUCCAUGGAAAAGGCAAAGUCACAAUGAGGGGCUCAAUUAUUCUUCAACGAACAAGAAGGAAAAGAAGCUGACUCAAAAAUGAAAAGGUCAACGCUGAGGAACCGUAUGUUAUCGGUCAAAUGAUGUAACAUAUAUAUAUAUAUAUAUAUAUAUAUAUAUAUAUAUAUAUAUAUAUAUAUAUAUAUAUAUAUAUAUAUAUAUAUCAUCCUACCACCCGGUGGUAGUUACCCCAUUUGUCUCAUAUACUACCAUAUGGUACUAUAUAUACUAUUUUAUCAUUUUAAAUAUAUUCGUAUAUUAUAUCUAAGAUAUUUCAAAGCAAGUUAUAUGAAAAAAUUGCAUAUAAGCUCACAGUNNNNNNNNNNNNNNNNNNNNNNNNNNNNNNNNNNNNNNNNNNNNNNNNNNNNNNNNNNNNNNNNNNNNNNNNNNNNNNNNNNNNNNNNNNNNNNNNNNNNNNNNNNNNNNNNNNNNNNNNNNNNNNNNNNNNNNNNNNNNNNNNNNNNNNNNNNNNNNNNNNNNNNNNNNNNNNNNNNNNNNNNNNNNNNNNNNNNNNNNNNNNNNNNNNNNNNNNNNNNNNNNNNNNNNNNNNNNNNNNNNNNNNNNNNNNNNNNNNNNNNNNNNNNNNNNNNNNNNNNNNNNNNNNNNNNNNNNNNNNNNNNNNNNNNNNNNNNNNNNNNNNNNNNNNNNNNNNNNNNNGUAAAAAACAGCAUACUCAAAACAUGGUAUAUACUACCUAAAAAUUAGUAUAUAUACUACCUAAUCAUUGUUAUAUACUACAUACUACACGUACAUACUUUCGAUUUUGACAGAUACUACAUACAACAUACAAAAUGGAAAUGGUGGUAACUACCACUGCUUGUAGGAAACAUUUUUCAUAUAUAUAUAUAUAUAUGUUCCUAUUUUGUAUACACACUUACCCAUUAUUAUGCAUGGUUCCAAUGAUGUAAUAUAUAUGUUCCUAUUUUGUAUACAUAUUUAACCGUCAAAUGAUGCAAUAUAUAUCGCCUUCCCUUCGUCCACUGCUCUCGGAAAAAAAAGUGAGAGAAAAUAAAGGAAAAGAAAAAGGAAAGCUGGUUAUAGUAGUAGCGCUUGACUGAAAAAGAGUUAUAGCUAGUCAAGGUAGCAGUAGCGGUUUCCGUAUAAAACCGCUAUAGUUGCCUAUAAUAGUAGUAGCGCGUUUGGUCCAAACGCGCUACUCCUACGUCCACUUAACCCAAAAUCCUCACUCUCUCUGCUUCAUCCCGCCUCUUUUCCCCCCAAAUUCCCACUCUCUCUUCCCCCGUCGCACCGCAGUGCCCCGGCGCUCGCCCCCGACCCCGACGCGCCACGCCUCCCUCCUCUGCUUCCUCCCCUCCCAACCUCGGCCAUCGUCGGGGCUGCCUCCUCGCCUCUGCACCCUCUGUAACCCCCCUCUCUCUCUGCUAGCUAGGCUUCUUAGAUUAAUUUACUUAGGUUUUAGUUAGGGCAGUAGGCUAAUUAGGUUAUCUAUUUAGUUAUCAAUUUAGCUAGGUUUUAAAAUAGGACAUAAAUUUAGGGUUAAGCAAUUGUAGUUAAAAGAAAAGGCAGCAUUUAAGCAAUUGUCCAAAUCAACAUCCCUUGUUAAAGUAAAUUUAGGUAGGCUGAAUUUAUAUGCAAAUUUGAACUGGACAUGUGAUAUGUGGACAUGUCAUGUUUGGAAUUUGGACAUGUCAUUUGGACAUGUGAUGUUUUGGUUCAAUUUUGGUAAAUCAUCCGAGUGGCCUAUGUUACGCCGGAAUGUUGAUUCAUUUCCGUUUCGGUGAAUUUCAAGCGCUCGAUAUGUCCAUUUUUUAGCAAAGGUCAUGCCGAAAUUUUCCGUGAAUUUUGGCAUGAUUUGUGCUAGAUAGUAGGCAUAUCGAGUGCUGGCGCAUAGAUUUCUUUUUUAUGUCAUUUCUCAUUUUUUUCAUACUUUUAGAAAUAAAUGAGGAGACUUAAUCAUAGGAAACAUGUCGAACAACGAAGAAACUGGGCCUUCUGACCAAGAUGCAGAUGAGAUGGAUUAUGAGGGUGAACAAGAGUACCUCGAGUAUUUGACUGCUAAGCAAGGUUUGCAGGUUGGCCUCGAUGAUGGUACUGACGCCGACAUCGACACCGAUGGCGCCGGCACCGAUGGCAGCGCCGAGACCGGCGAGGAAGGUACCAGCGGGGAACAUACCGGCGGGGAAGGUACUGGCGCCGAUGUCGCUACCGAAAAGAAGCAGAAGAAGCAUAGGAUACGAAAACCUAACAAACUAGGGAUUGGACGACUAGUGAUCACAAAUAUGGCACCUGGCAAGUUUGAGCCAUUAGAGUCAGAAGAACCUCGCAAGUGCUAUGGGAACCAAGUAGGAUGUAUGCUACGGGAAUGCGCGAGCAUCAACGACGAUGACUUAAGGAGUAAAGAACAUUUGACGCAGUUGCUCCUGACAAAGUUGCACAAGAGAUUCAAGUUCCUCGACCGGGAUGAUAACAUAGAACAACCGUGGGAUGAUCCAAAGAUGAAAAAUAUUAACAAUCACGCCAUGGGCAUGUUCAGCAAUGAUUUGGCCUCCUAGAAAGGGAGGGUGGAACGAGAUAUUGAGGCUGAGGAACCCCUGUCCAAGAUUCCGGAGGAAAGUCUGACACUUACGGAAGAGGAGUUCGAAAAGUUCAAGGACACUUGCGCUACCGAGGCAGCCAAGGCUAAGGAUGCGUAAUUCAAGAGCGUUCAGCAAAGGAAUACGGGGAAGCAUCGCCUCGGAAGCCGUGGCUACCUCGGUAAAAGUCCCAUAUGGGAUAAGGAGGACGCGGAACGUGAAGCCGCGGGUAUCCCAGAUCCCUUCGCGAAGUUCACCAACCCCUUGGAGCGUGACUUCAUCAGGGCCCGCUACAAGUGGGACAAGGAAAAAAAGGUUUGUUACACGGACCAGAUCACGAGGAAAUUGAUUAGACUACUGGUAAUUAUUCUUUUACCACCUUAUAUUUAGCUCCAUAUCUAGUCGACUGCACAUUCCUAAACAGUUCACGCUCCUUCUGCAGGAGAAGCAACACUAGCUUGCAGCCGAAAGCCCUACUUCUCCGGUGAGGCCCAAGUGGGACACCCCUCUCAACCGGGCCUUGAACGAACUUAAGGGACUCCCUUUGGGCUAGCAGCCGCAAUAUGGUCGUGUGCAUGGCGCUGGAAACGACGCCACGUGGAAGGUGUUUUACAACGAGGGCCCGGAGGCCAAGAAGCAGAAAAGGAAGUUUAGUUUGGCGGACAUCAACGCGAAGGUGAAGCUUGCGGUCGAGAAAAAAGCAGCCGAGGACGCGAAAAAAAUAGCCGAGGAGAAAAAUGAGUUGCUACAGCAGGCAGUCAAUGCAGCUGUAACUGCCUGCAGAAAUGAUUUUGCUACUAACUUGGUUCGAGCUAUCAUCAACUGGACGAAGGAAAAUCCAGACAAGACGGUACAUGAUUUCCCGAUGCCCAGUUUCGUCGGGAGCAACUCCAUGAACAACAACAACACCGCACCAUCACUUGCUCACGCAAUCGGGCCUCCUCUCGCAGUCGCUCCCGCUCAUAGCAGCCCGUCCUCAGCCUCUGGCACGCUAGGUGGGCCUUCGUCUUUGGCUGAGCUUGACGCCGUCAUGGUAAGUACAUGUUGCACCAACACACACACACACACACACACACACACACACACAUAUAUAUAUAUAUAUAUAUAUAAUAUUCCAUUUUCGUUGCCUUUCGGAUGUUUUACGCCACAGACAUAUGUGUUUGCAGGCCGAAGAAACCUCAUGCACCAUACUCUACUUGAUCAAAGGCCAGAAGGUGGACGUGGGAAAGGGGAUGACAAUGAACCCCUUGCAACCCAUUUCCACAACCAGCCGAUCCCCGCUGGACACUUAAGGGUUAGCUUGUCCAGUGUGAAAUUGGGGCACGAGGCUUUGCCUCCUCCAGUAUAGCAUGUGGGAGAGGACGACGAGACCCCGCCGUAGAUUGGAAGCUGCAAGGGUUGGGUGCUUCUAUGGCCGAAGAAUCUUAUUCGUCUGGAGCCAGCCGAGAGCACAUCAAUAACCACACAUCAACAAGCAUGUGCGGAGACCACCACCCCGCCUACGCAAUUACCAGCUCAUGUAGUGCCAGGUGAGAGCGGUGGACGACGUGAUGAAGGGGGUGCAAUACUACUGGCUGAUGUAAUCGGUCCUGUAGAACAGAGAAUGGAUGAUGAGACGGAGGUCGACCCUAUGGGUUUCCUCAAUACAAACGCAUAUGACUGUGACAUAGAUAUGAUGAGUCAACCAUAUGACGAAUCGGGCUAUCAGCAUGCUAAUGAGGAUAUGGAUGAUAUGCCCGGGCAGGAAGGUCGUUGGAAGGAUUGCAAAAAGUCUCUCUUCAUGAAUUCCUCACAGGACACGCCUGAACAUGCCGCCUCAACACAGGCUCAACUAGCCGGGGGGUCGUACAGAGCUUAGCCUGGGAACCCUAGGGCAGGGGUUAAGGAAGGGUCUGGAAGGCGUGCCCAAGAAAAAGGAGAGGAAGAGAUCGGGGAAGAUAACUGCCUUCAAACAAGCCAGAGCACAUAGCAGCCAGACGAUGGAUUCUGAAGAGCGUGUACCUGUGAAAGGUGUGGCCAUGUUCCAUCUCACGGGCGAGCCGAUGCUACCGCCGAAACCGUUGGAGGCACUAUCAGGGGAUCUCAGGAGAAUGCAUGACCAUGUGCUAUCAACUGAGAAAAGCCUACUAGCCUCAAAGGAUCCAGGAUAUCCGACAUACGCGGCUCGUGUGCCUGAGGGGAAGUGCUACGUCGACACACGGCCCGCGGAGGUGUUCUUCCUACGGUUUGACCAUAUCUUUGAGAUGUUUUUGACAAGGCGGCUCGAUUUUACAAUCGUCCGCCUUUUUGCGUUACAUAUGAGCUCCGUCAUGAAGAGUGAAGAAGUCUCGCAAAUCUGUGUGGCGGAUCCAUACUACAUGCACGAGUCUUUCUUGAGUCUCGGCGAGUUUGAGCGUGAAACUGCUAGGGACUACCUCCAAAACUUCAUGGUACAGAAUAAGGACCAGUAAAUUGUCCUCCUGCCUUAUCAUCCAAAGUAAGUCAGUUCCGGACAACCCUUUCGUACAUUUCAAUCAUUCCUUCUCGCUCGUAUGGAGAAUAAUUUGAGGUGUAUUUUCCCCGUAGCAACGGGCGCGCCGUCCUUAUCGUUCUUUACCCGCGAGUCUCCCAUGUCGUGUAUUUUGACCCUUCCAGAGACUACGAGAAAAAGGACUACACCCACAUAAUGAAUAUUCUAGAUGAUGCUCUCCAAGGCUUCAGCAUUAGAGGUAGCCACAUGCAGAUUAGGAAACAAAGGAACAAGAAGAUGGGUUUCGCGCAUAAAACUAACUUCUCCUGCAUCCAUGUCCCAAAACCAAGCAAGAAGGAUGGAUUCUACAUCGUCCAUCUCAUGAUUGAGUUCAGUACGGAUCACCAAAAGCUUCGCAUGACAAGCAGAAAUGAUGAUCAUAUCCACAAGUGGCUAGAAUCUCAUGGAGAAGCGGAUUAUAAACUUAGAGAUGACUUCUUUCGCAUCCAAAGGGACAUUGCAACGAUCAUCAUGAAAGAAGUCGUCGAUGAGAAGGGGAUGUUCCACCACGGCCCUAUAUUGCAAGCUGACGUUCGAACUCGCAUAGGCAUGCAACGUCUAUACCUCACGUCGUUCAAGGAGCUAGGGUCCAUCCUCGGUGAUAUGGAAGGAUGGAACUUCUAGUGAUUUACGAUGCCGAUGAUGAUGAUAUGUGUCGGUUGAACUUGUAUACUUUCUGUAGCGAUGAAACUUUGUGAUGUCCACGGUCCGUCCCGAACUUGCAUACCGCUACUUUGUUAGUUUGCGUACGAUGAGCUGCGUACCUCUAGUUAAUUAGUUUGCGUACUGUAUGUUGCAUCUAGUUUCUAACCCUUUAUUUUUCGUGUUGCUCUAGUAUAUUUUAUUGCAUAUGAUUGUACAUCCUCUUCAUGAAGAUGCAUCUUUAACAGGUACCUAGUUUCUUGAUGGCGAGAUGGCAGUGCUAUGUCGUGUACAAAGGGAAGCUUCCGGGGGUGUACAACGAGUGGCCUGAGUGUCAGGCGCAAGUGAAUGGGUUCUCGAGCGCCGGCCAUAAAGGCUUCAAAAGCAAACAAGAAGAAGAAGCUAGUUACUUGAGGUUCACGCUAGCGUGAGAGAGGACUCGUAACCACCGCCUCAUGUACUGCAUAGUUCCGCUCUUACUCAUAGUGAUAGCUCUUCUCGUGUAUACCUUUGUUUAGAUGGAUGACGUUGUAGUCGCAAGUAUUCGAGACUUGCAUGUAUCGCUAUUUUCGAGAUGAUGACAAGAUACCACUUUGUGUUGGAUGAUGAUUCUGAUGAGACUAUUUGUAUGUAUAUGCUAUUAUUACAUUUGUGGUCUCACAGCCAUUUGUAUGUGUAUCAUGAUGAAAUUUGUAUGUGCUAAAGAUUCUUCUAUAAAGCAUGUUCAAAUACAAAACAAAUAUGCAGAAAAAAACAAAAACUACUAAAAUUAGCAGUAGCGAGUGGAGAAAAGUUAGCAGCAGGGUGACAAUAGCAGUAGCGCGCACAGGAAAAGCGCGCUAUAGCUAUUAGCAGUAGCGAGCUCCCGGGAAGAACGCUGCUGCUACACUUGUAUAUCAGUAGCACUAGCGCGCACGCGCUGCUGCUACGGGUUAGCUGUAGCGCCUUAUUAGUAGCGCCAUGUCCCACGCUACUGAUAUACGUAAAACCCGUGCUGCCGCUAGGCUUUUACCUAGUAGUGAUGCCUUAUUUACCCCCAGAUAAUGACACAAGAUUUCCUUUUCAAAUUCAUGUUUUUGAGAAAAAAAAACUUAUUGUGCACUUGCCUUCUAAUCAAUUAUUUGCAGGCAGUCCCUGGAAUGGGUUUUGACAUCAUGCGGCCAGGCUCAUUAGUUGCAACCUCCCUUAUUAAUGAUGAAGCAAAACCAAAGCAUGUUCUUUUGUUAGAACUUAGAAGUCAAGGUCAAAUUUGAUCUUCUUUUUAUGUAAAACAUGAUGCAUUUAUGGUGUUCAGAGUUUUAUUAUUUUUAUAUACUCCUUAAAUAGGUAAACCAUGAUACGCCAAAACAAACUUCCUUUGACGUCCAUUAGACCUUUUGAGUAUGCUGAUUUAUGCCACUCCUUAGUUAAUGCUUAGUUAAGCAAGUGUAUGUCAGGUUCUCACAAUGCGAAAUGUGCAAGUUGUUUUGAAAGAUGUAAAAGAUGUCGACCCACAUGAUCUGGCCUCUAUUUUCAUUUCAAUAAAAUUGCGAGUGUCAGGUUUUCUGUUUAGUAUUUCAAAUGUUGUUCCUUUUCCUGUAAGCACGUGGCCUUGGUGGGUACCUAAGAGAUUGAUUUCAGAUCAGGAAUCUGAGUGAAAAAAUAGUCAACUAAAAUCCAGUAGAUUAGAGCCCAAACUUUGAUUAAUUCGAAUCAAGGUAAAAUAUUAAUACAAGUGCUCUGAUAAAGAAUAAAUUUUUUUCUUUGAAAUUCUCAUACUGUUCUGCAUGUAGAUCACUCUUGGUUUACAAAAAUGAAACAACAACUAUUUAGUCAGAAGUAUGCCGGCAAGGUACCUUGGGAACUUAUUUCAUUGUCUCGUGUUGUAAGGUCAUGAACCCCCAACACAUUUUCAUUUUCUCAAAAGCAGCGAAGAAGCGCAAGACUACAUGAGGUAUUUUGCUAUGUUUAAGAAAACAGUGCACAUAAUAUAUCAUUAGUGAGAAAAUAGACUAAGCUAUGAGAAAUUUUAUGCUAGUGUGUGAUUGCCCAAGUGCUUGUUGUAACAGGCUGCCAAGUCCCUCUCUUUGUGGAGUGAAGAGGGAAGGCAACAAUCAGUUGGCUGUCAGUUGACCUGCAAGAUGAAGGUUACUCCUUCAUACUUCCAGGGGUUCAAGUCUCAGUUUGCAUUAAAAAGUAGAAAUGUUGCUGCAAACAUCCAUGCAAGAGAGGUUGUACUAAACUUUGAUGUAAUCAUGUAUUGAAAUUUCAUGAAAUCCAUGUAUUUCUGGAUGAUUUGAUAGGAUUACAUAACGUGUUGCAUAUAUUUAGCAUGCCAAAUUCACUUCUUACAUACAAUCCAUUUUGCACUGGAACAAUAAAAAUGCAUAAAUGACACAGAAGCACAAAUGGACUUGAAUGGAUUGAUUUCCAGUAUAUGAAGUUUACUCUAACAUGACCUCAAAUAUUUAUUCUAGCAACGCAUCAGUGAAACUGUCACAUCUACUUCUCUGGGAAUUUUGUGAUGCUCUUUGCCUGGCAAAGAAUAACGAAACCACAUUAAUACAACAUCAGAAAGUGCAUAAACAACAUUUUACAUUGAUGCUCUUUGGCCCUUGGUGUCUCCAUUCUUUACCCUACGGUUAUAUCGUUGAUCUACUGAAUCUUGCUUCUUCAGGUUUAUUUGUUCUUCGGGUUUCACACACGGUCAGCACUACUAGUUAUUACUACAUCUUCUAAAUUUUUUCUGUGGAAUGUAGUGAACUUUAUUUCAGAUAACAGAUGAAGUCCAUACUAUUCAAUCCAAAUGCUACUUGUUUCAAACAAAUCGGAGAAACUGGGAUUGGAAACUAGACUAUACAUGGAUAAUAGCAUAACCAAAUUUUGAGCUCAUACCGCAAAUCCUUUAGUAGUAAAAAUAAGCAAGCUGUUGGUGGACCACAUGAUUUCGAUCCUGGCCACUCGUGGUGUUUCAAUGCUAGAAGCCGGGGCAAGGGAGGGAGGGCAAUAGAGAGGCAGACCAAAUUUCUCUUAACCCUAGCUCGAGGCUGCUGCACGGGUACAACAGAUGGAAGGGGAGGUUGAUGAACUCAGAACGGGGAGGUCAAGUCGCUGGGUUUAGCUAGACUUGAAGGUCUAUUUUGCAAAAUGGACCAGCAGCUGCCUUUGCACUACAUCUAGUCCCUAUCUUUUUAAUCCAAAGGCUCACGAUCCACCAGGGCGCCUGGUGCACCAGUUCGCCUCGUGCACAGGAUACGUUCUCUCUCUCCAUAUUACCAUAUCUCUAGAGCCAAUAAUUUUCUCUGAGGAAGUACUGAACUCAAUCACUUGCCGCCGUUACUCAACUGUUUUCUGUUGAGGUCUAUCAUGUAAAGGUAGUAAAAUUGUACCGGCAUUUCGAGUACCAGGACCAUAUACAUCAUGUAUUUUCAUGUACCAGGACCGUAUCGAAGCACUUUUGAACCACGAGGACCUUGUUGGGCCUGUGACUACGAGGAUGAUAUGUGCAAUUAUCUCGUUGUUGACUUGGUGGGAGAUUUUGAGGUACACGAUUUGGUCUUCAUCUCUUCAAGAGCUUUGCAGUAGCAAGUAGUUGAUCACUUGCACGUUGUUGUUGAUCAUCGUCGUCAUCAACCCCUUCUUGAUAUGGCCGCAUGUCUUCCUGUUGAAGGCGCCACAGUCAAUUCGGUGAGCAUUAUGAUAUUCCUUGAAAUCCUUGAUCUUCCCGCUCCCAUUGGGUGUUCGUGCCUGGAGGCAGAUCCAUAGGCCCUAUGCAGCAUAUGUCAGCCACGCCCGCCUUGAUCUCCCUGUGUUCCGCCUUGAAUUCCCUGUGAGCUUUCAUGACGGUGUCAGCAUGGUUCUUCUUAUGCUUCUCCUUGUGCUUGUUGUCCUCCCCGGUAUGGUGCUUCAUCUUUUUCAUCUUAUCCUUGCUCUUGUGCUCACCCUUAUCUCCUUGCUGGCCUCCUUGUGAUGUUGUGGCUUGUGUUCUUUGUAUGUUGUGCCCUUGUCGUGGCCGUGGCAUUUAGCUUGACCAUGUCAAGAGGCUAGUGGACAACAAUUUUCUCCAAUGGUGGGAGCGGAGCAGACAUGAUCCAGCUUUCGUCGGACGGCUCUGACUCCAACUUCGGCGGCUUCGGCCUGGGCGACAUGAAUAGGGUGAAGAUCAGGGCCUAAAUAUAGAUAGAGUAAAUGAAUAAAGUGUAUUUGUUUUGUUUAUUUCGUUCAAAUCGACUAGUUUAAAUCUAUGUUAUGUAAUGUAGUUUGAGAUGAUUGUGCUAUCUAUGGUUAUAUUUGUGUUUAAGCAAUGCACUUUGAAUCAAAUUGGGCUAGCGAGGUUCAAAUUCGUGUGAAUUUUUUAGGGGGUUAAGUUUUGUGCUUCAUCUAGGAAAUGAUAUUUAGCGGACCUAAUAUUUUUUUGAUGGAAAGAUGUUCAUGGCUAGCUUUAUUAAAAUCAAAUCACACUUUCAUCAUCCACUAGAAGACUAUAAAUAAAGCUUGGGGGUGUGUCCAACCACAAAGCUGUGGGAUCAACACGCCCUUGCUAAGCUAGCACCCGAGCAACCAUAUUAAACUCUAUUACAAUGUGUUUAGAAAGAACCUUCCCAAACUCUUCACUCAAACUUCGACAUUCUUCAGCGAUAGGAGCAGACACCAUAGAAUGUCCAAUAUUUAGGUUUGACGCUUCUACGACAACCAAAUUAUCCAUCUACACAAGGAGUUAAUUAAUUUCUAUAGUCAAGGCCAGUUUCAAACCUACCACUAAAGUUGUUGCUUCCACCGAAAAGAUAUCCCCAACAUGCUCAAGUUUUGCACUAGAAGCACCUAUGAGCAUACCCAUAUGAUAACAGGCAACAUCUCCACAUUAACCAUCAUGAUCAUCCUAAGAAAAGAAUCUACAUUUAGUACGAGUUGUCCAAACAUAGGCUUCUUCCAUCGGUUUAAGCGUGGGGCAGGUAUCGGCUUCCCAUUUGCAUGUACAUAGUUCAACAUAAAACGCUUGAACGACUAUGUAUGCAUCAUCAGCGCCUCUCGUUGCAGAUGAGUAGCGCCCAUCUCCAUCAUUUUUUUCUCUUCAUCAUCACGGAGACCUGCCCAGUAUCAAAUAAAAGAACAUGCAUAACAUAUAAAUUCAGUCGGAUAUCUAACCAUUUUCUGAUCAAAACAAGCUCUAUUACACAAUUUCCAGAUGGCCCCGCAGAUCGUUGCGACCCUGCUAUCUCUACAUUCCUACUCAAAGGGAUAUAAUGAGGUAUCCACCAGAAGUAUUGUGAGAAGCGGGUUGGCCAAGCUACAAUUGGGAAACGUUACAUGGAAAACAAAAAAAAUCUACGCACACGCAAGAUCUAUCAAAGAGAUGCAUAGUAACGAGAGGGGAGAGUGUGUCUACGUACCCUCAUAGACCAUAAGCGAAAGUGUUUCACAAUGCGGUUGAUGAAGUCGAACUUUCUUCGUGCUCCAACGAUUUAGUACCAAAUGCAUGGCACCUUCGCAUUGUGCACACGUUCAGCUCGGUGACGUCCUCCGCCUUCUUGAUCCAGCAAGACGGCAAGGUAGUAGAUGAGUUCCGAUAGCACGACAGUGUGGUGACGGUGAUGGUGAUGUGAUCUCCGCAAGGCUUCGCCUAAGAACUACAGAAAUAUGACCGAGGGAGUAAACAGUGGACGGGGGCGCUGCACACGGCUAAGACAAUGUUGUGUCCUUGUGUGGUGCCCCCUCCCCACAUAUAUAUAUAGGUGGGGGGAGAAGGCAGCCUAGGGCAUCCAGGGCGCGCGGCUGGCCGCCGGCACUAGGGCUCGUACCCUCCUGCGCCCCCCUUUCCUUGUAGGACCAAGGGGGAAGGAAAGAGAGGAGGGAAGGAAGGGGGAGUCCUACACCACACUUUCCUUUCCCUCCCCUCUUUCCUUCUCCUCCUCAUAGGGUCGGCCACCAUAGGGGCGCCCUAGCCCCUUGUGGGCUGGUGCGUUCCCUCUCUUGGCCCAUAAGGCCCAUAGCUUUCCCGGGGUGCCCGAAACUCCUUUCCGGUGACCCGAUAAGCACCUGGUACCCUCGAAACACUUCCGGUGUCUGAAUACCAUUGUCCUAUAUAUCAAUCUUUACCUCUCGACCAUUUCGAGACUCCUAUUCAUGUAUGUGAUCUCAUACGGGACUCGAACAAUAUUCGAUCACCAAAUCACAUAACUCAUAUAAUACUAUAUCAUCAUCGAACAUUAAGCGUGCGGACCCUACGGGUUCGACAAUUAUGUAGACAUGACCAAGACAUCUCUCUCGUCAAUAACCAAUAGGGGAACCUAGAUGCCCAUAUUGGCUCCUACAUAUUCUAUGAAGAUCUUUAUCGGUCGAACCGUUAUGACAACAUACGUAGUUCCCUUUGUUCAUCAGUAUGUUACUUGCCCGAGAUUCGAUCGUCGGUAUCUCUAUAUCUAGUUCAAUCCCGUUACCAGCAAGUCUCCUUACUCGUUACGUAAUACAUCACCUCAUGACUAACUCCUUAGUCAUUUUCUUGCAAGCUUAUGAUGUGUAUUACCGAGAGGGCCCAGAGAUACCUCUCUGAUACUCGGAGUGACAAAUCUUAAUCUUGAUCUAUGACAACUCAACAAACACCUUCGGAGAUACCUGUAGAGCAUCUUUAUGAUCACUCAGUUACGUUGUGACGUUUGAUAGCACACAAAGUAUUCCUCCGGUGUUCGGGAGUUGCAUAAUCUCAUAGUCAAAGGAAUAUGUAUUUGACAUAAAGAAAGCAAUAGCAAUAAACUGAAUGAUCAAUAUGCUAUCACAUAAUUCUCCUAACGACGUGAUCCCAUUAUCAAAUGACAACGCAUGUCCAUGGUUAGGAAACCUUAACCAUCUUUGAUCAAUGAGCUAGUCUAGUAGAGGCUUACUAGGGAAACGGUAUUUGUUUAUGUAUUCACACAUGUAUUUAAGUUUCUGAUCAAUACAAUUCUAGCAUGAAUAAUAAACCUUUGUCAUGAAUAAGGAAAUAUAAAAUAACAACUUUAUUAUUGCCUCUAGGGCAUAUUUCCUUCAGUCUCCAACUUGCACUAGAGUCAAUAAUCUAGUUCACAUCGUCAUGUGAUUAACACCCAUCGUUCGCAUCGCCAUGUGACUAACAUCCAAAGAGUUUACUAGAGUCAUUAAUCUAGUUCACAUCGCCAUGUGAUUAACACCCAAAGAGUAUUAAGGUGUGAUCAUAUUUUGCUUGUGAGACAGGCUUAGUCAAGGGGCCUGCUACAUUCAGAUCCGUAUAUAUUUUGCUAUUUUCUGUGUCUACAAUGCUCUGCAUGGAGCUACUCUAGUUAAUUUCUCCCACUUUCAAUACAUAUCCAGAUUGAGACUUAGAGUCAUCUAGAUUAGUGUUAAAGCUUGUAACCCUUUACGACAAUCCCUUUAUCACCUCCAUAACCGAGAAACAUUUCCUUAGUCCUAUAAGGAUAAUUUUGACCGAUGUCCAGUGAUCUACUCCUGGAUCACUAUUGUACCCCCUUGCCAAACUCAUGGCAAGGCACACAACAGGCCUGAUACACAACAUGGCAUACUUUAUAGAGAACCUAUGGCUGAGGCAUAGGGAAUGACUUUCAUUCUCUUUCUAUCUUCUGCCAUGGUCGGGCUUUGAGUCCUACUCAAUUUCACACCUUAAAAUACAGGCUAGAACUCCUUCUUUGACUGGUCCAUUUUGAAAUCCUUCAAAAUCUUGUUAAGGUAUGUACCCAUUGAAAGUCUUAUCAAGUGUCUUGACCUAUCUCUAUAGAUCUUGAUGCCUAAUAUGUAAGCAGCUCCACCGAGGUCUUUCAUUGAAAAAUUCUUAUUCAAGUAUCCUUUUAUGCUAUCCAGAAAUUCUAUAUCAUUUCCAGUCAAUAAUAUGGCAUCCACAUAUAAUAUCAGAAAUGCUACAAAGCUCCCACUCACUUUCUUGUAAAUACAGGCUUCACCGUAAGUCUGUAUAAAAUCAUAUGCUUUGAUCACCUCAUCAAAGCUUAUAUUCCAACUCCGAGAUGCUUGCACACUUUGUUAGCACCUUUAGGAUUGACGAAAACUUAUAGUUGUAUCAUAUACAACUCUUCUUUAAGAAACCCAUUAAGGAAUGCAAUUUUGACGUCCAUUUGCCAGAUUUCAUAACUGUCGAGAACCUUUUGUGACAAGUCGAGCUUUGUAGAUGGUGACAUUACCAUCAGCGUCUGUCUUCUUCUUGAAGAUCCAUUUAUUCUCAAUGGCUUGCCGAUCAUAGGGCAAGUCCACCAAAGUCCACACUUUGUUCUCAUACAUGGAUCCUAUCUCAGAUUUCAUGGCCUCAAGCCAUUUAUUGGAAUCUAGGCUCAUCAUAGCUUCUUCAUAGUUCAUAGGUUCGCCAUGGUCUAGUAACAUGACUUCUAGGACAGGAUUACCGUACCACUCUGGUGCGCAACGUGCUCUAUUCGACCUACGAGGUCCAAUAAUAACUUGAUCUGAAGUUUCAUGAUCCUCAUCAUUAUCUUCCUCUCUAGUUUGUGUAGGCAUCACGGGAACUGAAUUCUUUAAUGUGCCACUUUCCAAUUCGAGAGAAGGUACAAUUACCUCAUCAAGUUCUACUUUCCUCCCACUCACUUCUUUCGAGAUAAACUCCUUCUCUAGAAAGGACCCAUUCUUAGCAACAAAGAUUUUGACUUCGGAUCUGUGGUAGAAGGUAUACCCAAUAGUUUCUUUCGGGUAUCCUAUGAAGAUGCACUUCUCCGCUUUGGGUUUGAGCUUAUCAGGCUGAAGCCUUUUGACAUAAGCAUCGCAUACCCAAACUUUUAAGAAACGAAAACUUAUGUUUCUUGCCAAACCACAGUUCAUACGGUGUCGUCUCAACGGAUUUAGACGGUGCCCUAUUUAACGUGAAUGAGGCUGUCUCUAAUGCAUAACCCCAAAAUGAUAGUGGUAAAUUGGUAAGAGACAUCAUAGAUCGCACCAUAUCUAAUAAAGUACAGUUACGCCGUUCGGACACACCAUUACGUUGUGGUGUUCCAGGUGGCGUGUGUUGUGAAACAAUUCCACAUUGUUUUAAAUGAAGGCCAAACUCGUAACUCAAAUAUUCGCCUCCAUGACCAGAUCGUAGAAACUUUAUUUUGUUGUUACGAUGAUUCUCCACUUCACUUUGAAAUUCUUUGAACUUUCAAAUGUUUCAAACGUGUGUUUCAUUAAGUAGAUAUACUCAUACUUACUUAAAUCAUCUAUGAAGGUCAGAAAAUAAUGAUACCCGCCGCGUACUUCAACACUCAUCGGACCACAUACAUCGGUAUGUAUUAUUUCCAAUAAGUUAUUAGCCCGCUCCAUUGUUCCGGAGAACGGAGUUUUAGUCAUCUUGCCCAUGAGGCAUGGUUCGCAAGUAUCAAAUGAUUCAUAAUCAAGUGAUUCCAAAAAUCCAUCUGCAUGGAGUUUCUUCUUGCGCUUUACACCAAUAUGACCUAAACGGCAGUGCCACAAGUAUGUUGCACUAUCAUUAUCAACUUUGCAUCUUUAGCAUCAAUAUUAUGAAUAUGUGUAUCACUACGAUCGAGAUUCAAUAAACCAUUCACAUUGGGUGUAUGACCAUAGAAGGUUUUAUUCAUGUAAGUAGAACAACAAUUAUUCUAUGACUUAAAUGAAUAACUGUUGCAAUAAACAUGAUCCAAUCAUAUUCAUGCUCAAUGCAAACACCAAAUAACAUUUAUUUAGGUUCAACACUAAUCCCGAAUGUAGAGGGAGUGUGCGAUGGUGAUCGUAUCAACCUUGGAAUCACUUCCAACACACAUCGUCACCUCAUCCUUAACUAGUCUCUGUUCAUUCUGCAACUCCUGUUUCGAGUUACUAAUCUUAGCAACUAAACCCGUAUCAAAUACCCAGGUGCUACUACAAACACUAGUAAGGUAUACAUCAAUAACAUGUAUAUCAAAUAUACCUUUGUUCACUUUGCCAUCCUUCUUAUCCGCCAAGUAUUUGGGGUAGUUCCGCUUCCAGUGACCAUUUCCUUUGCAGUAGAAGCACUCAGUUUCAGGCUUGGGUCCAGCUUUGGGCUUCUUGACGGGAGUGGCAACUUGCUUGCCAUUCUUCUCAAAGUUACUUUUCUUUCACUUGCCCUUUUUCUUGAAACUAGUGGUCUUAUUAACCAUCAACACUUGAUGUUUUUUCUUGAUUUCUACCUUUGCUGAUUUUAGCAUCACAAAGAGCUCGGUAAUCAUUUUCAUCAUCCCUUGCAUAUUAUAGUUCAUCACGAAGUUCUAGUAGCUUGGUGAUAGUGAUUAGAGAACUCUAUAAAUCACUAUUUUAUCUAGAAGAUUAACUCCCACUUGAUUCAAGCGAUUGUAGUACCCAGACAUUCUAAGCACAUGCUCAUUGGCUGAGCUAUUCUCCUCCAUCUUGUAGGCAAAGUACUUGUCAGAGGUCUCAUACCUCUCGACAUGGGCAUGAGUUUGAAAUAUGAAUUUCAGCUCUUGGAACAUCUCAUAUGUUCCAUGGCAUUCAAAACGUCUUUGGAGCCUCGAUUCUAAGCCGUAAAGCAUGGCGCACUAAACUAUCAAGUAGUCAUCAUAUCGAGCUUGUUAGACGUUUAUAACGUCUGCAUCAGCUCCUGUAACAGGUCUGUCACCUAGCGGUGCAUCAAGGACAUAAUUCUUAUGUGCGGCAAUGAGGAUAGUCCUCAGAUCAUGGACUCAGACCGCAUUAUUGCUACUAUCAUCUUUCAACUUAGUUUUCUCUACGAACAUAUCAAAAUACAGGGGGGCUAUAUCGCGAGCUAUUGAUCUACAACAUAGAUAUGCAAAAACUAUUAAGACUAAGUUCAUGAUAAAUUUAAGUUCAAUUAAUCAAAUUACUAAUAAACUCCCACUUAAAUUGACAUCCCUCAAGCCAUCUAAGUGAUACGUGAUCCAAAUCAACUAACCCAUUUCCGAUCAUCACGUGAAAUGGGGUAGUCAUCAAUGGUGAACAUCUAUAUGUUGAUCAUAUCUACUAUAUAACUCACAUUCGACCUUUCGGUCUCUAGUGUUCCAAGACCAUGUAUGUACAUGCUAGGCUGAUACGUCCAUUUUGCACCAUGCUUUUAUAUCGAUAUUUAUUGCAUUAUGGGAUGUUAUUACACGUUAUGUCACAAUACUUAUGCCUAUUAUCUCUUAUUUUACAAGGUUUGCAUGAAGAGGGAGAAUGCCGGCAGCUGGGAUUCUGGCUGGAAAAGGAGCAAAUAUUAGAGACCUAUUCUGCACAAAUCCAAAAGUCCUGAAACUCCACGAAAGUCAUUUUUGGAUUUAAUAAAAAAUAUUGAGCAGAAGAAAUACCAGAGGGGGGCCACCCACCGUCCAUGAGGGUGGGGGCACACCCUACCCCCCUGGGCGCGCCCCUGCCUCGUGGACCACCUGGCAGCCCUCCGGUGCCCAUCUUCUGCUAUAUGAAGUCUUUUACCCUAGAAAAAAUCAUAAGCAAGCUUACGGGACGAAACUCCACCACCACGAGGCGGAACCAAUCUAGGGCUCUGGCGGAGCUGUUCUGCAGGGCAAACUUCCCUCCGGGAGGGGGAAAUCAUCACCAUCGGCAUCACCAUCGAUCCUCUCAUCGGGAGGGGGUCAAUCUCCAUCAACAUCUUCACCGGCACCAUCUCCUCUCAAACCCUAGUUUAUCUCUUGUAUCCAAUCUUUGUACCAAAACCUCAGAUUGGUACCUGUGGGUUGCUAGUAGUGUUGAUUACUUCUUGUAGUUGAUGCUAGUUGGUUUAUUUGGUGGAAGAUCAUAUAUUCAAAUCCUUAAUGCAUAUUAAUACCCCUCUGAUUAUGAACAUGAAUAUGCUUUGUGAGUAGUUAUGUUUGUUCCUGAGGACAUGGGAGAAGUCUUGCUAUUAGUAGUCAUGUGAAUUUGGUAUCAUUCGGUAUUUUGAUGAGAUGUAUGUUGUCUCUCCUCUAGUGGUGUUAUGUGAACGUCGACUACAUGACCCUUCACCAUUAUUUGGGCCUAGAGGAAGGCAUUGGGAAGUAAUAAGUAGAUGAUGGGUUGCUAGAGUUACAGAAGCUUAAACCCUAGUUUAUGCGUUGCUUCGUAAGGGGCUGAUUUGGAUCCACAUGUUUCAUGCUAUGGUUAGGUUUACCUUAAUACUUCUUUUGUAGUUGUGGAUGCUUGCAAUAGGGGUUAAUCAUAAGUGGGAUGCUUGUCCAAGAAAGGGCAGUACCCAAGCACCGGUCCACCCACAUAUCAAAUUAUCAAAGUAACGAACACGAAUCAUAUGAGCGUGAUGAAAACUAGCUUGACGAUAAUUCCCAUGUGUCCUCGGGAGCGCUUUUCUCUAUAUAAGAACUUGUUCAGGCUUGUCCUUUGCUACAAAAAGGAUUGGGCCACCUUGCUGCACCUUAUUUAUUUUAUUGCUUGUUACUCGUUACAAAUUACCUUAUCACAAAACUAUCUGUUACUGAUAAUUUCAGUGCUUGUAGAGAAUACCUUACUGAAAACCGCUUGUCAUUUCCUUCUGCUCCUCGUUGGCUUCGACACUCUUACUUAUCGAAAGGACUACGAUAGAUCCCCUACACUUGUGGGUCAUCAUAGGCUCAUCAAGUUCAACCCAAGUAUUCUGCAUGUGCAAAACUGUCUUACACCCGUUGUAUGUGAACGUAGAGUAUAUCACACCCGAUCAUCACGUGGUGCUUCGAAAUGACAAACUUUGGCAACGGUGCAUACUCGGGGAGAACAUGUUUAUCUUGAAAUUUAGUGAAGGAAUCAUCUUAUAAUGUUACCGCCGUUCUAAGAAAAAUAAGAUGUAUAAAGGAUAAACAUGACAUGCAAUCAAAAUAUGUGACAUGAUAUGGCCAUCAUCAUCUUGUGCUUUUUAUCUCCAUCUCCAUCUCCAAAGCCUCGUCAUGAUCUCCAUCAUCGCCGGCUCGACACCUUGAUCUCCAUCGUUGCGUCGUGGCUGUCUCGCCAACUAUUGCUUCUACAACUAUUGCUAACGCAUAGCGAUAAAGUAAAGCAAUUAUAUUGCAUUUCAUACAAUAAAGAGAUAACCAUAAGGCUCCUGCCGGUUGCCGAUAAUUUAUAAAACAUGAUCAUCUCAUACAAUAACGUAUAUCACAUCAUGUCUCACUACUAGAAAAACAGCUAUAGCCAAUAUGGACACUAAUGGCGCACUAUACAUGUGGUGCGCCAUUACUAAAUAGUAAUGGCGCACGUAGGUGCGCCAUUAGUAACCAAAACAGUAAUGGCGCACCAGGUGAUAAGUGCGUCAUUACUAAGUUUGACCAAGGUUUGACCCAGUCAUACACAUAGUAAUGGCGCAUUUUGUAUAGGUGCGCACUUAGUAAUGGCGCACAUUUACAAAGUGCGCCAUAACAAUGUGUAUGACUGGGUCAAACCUUGGUCAAACUUAGUAAUGGCGCACUUUGCAUAGGUGCGCCAUUACUAUGUCAAACUUAGUAAUGGCGCACCUUCACAAAGUGCACCAUUACUAACUUUGACCAAGGUUUGUGAUAUGUGGUCUAGUUGUUGGGAAAAUUUACAAAUAUGAAUUUCGACUUUAUUUGCAAAAUCACUCUGGAAUUUAGUAAAAUGGGCAUAACUUUUGCAUACGAACUCGGAUUAAAAAGUUUUUUAAUAUGAAAAAUCAUCUACUUGAAAAGUUACAUCCGAAUUCAACCGGGGGAACCCCGAUGAAGAUUUUUAGAAUCCCCCAAAACCUAACAGAAUAAAAGAUACGGGGCUUUUAAGAUCUAGAGGGGGGAAAUGGAAAAAAAAUUCAAACUUAGUAAUGGCGCACCAUUUGCUAGGUGCGCCACUAGUAACAGAAAAAAAUUGGUUUCAAAUUUUUUUUAGAAAAAAUGUUCAAAAUAUGAUACGUAAUAUGACCGGGAAGUUUGAAAUAUUUUUUCAAAAUUUCAUCACACUCAUGAACAAGAACAAAGUCCUAGACAUCAACAAGGUUUAAUAGGAUUGAUAUGAUAGAUAUAUCAACAAGUGCAUGUUAAGUGAGCUGGUGCUGGGGUUGGAUAGAACUGAGAAGUUAAGCGUCCUGGGGAUGGAGUAGUGUGAGGAUGGGUGACCUUUUGGGAAGUUUGACCAGGGAGUGCAAUUUGACUUGAAAUUAAGCAUAUUGACCCGAGAUUAAGAAAAAAAUGAAAAAAAAUGAUGAAAAAAAAUGAAAAAAAAAUUGAAAAAAAAAAUUCUGAAAAAAAUUUGAAAAAAAAUUGUUAGUAAUUCUAUGUGGUGCGCCAUUACUAAGUCAGAUAGUAAUGGUGCACUUCUAGGCACCAAAUGUGCGCCAUUACUAUUUGUUACUAGUGGCGUGUUAAUAGUGGUGCACCUAUAGUGCGCCAUUAUUAGCAAAAACUGGUGCGCCACUAACAGCCUUUUUUCUAGUAGUGUCUUGACCAUAUCACAACACAACAUGCCCUGCAAAAAUAAGUUAGGUAUCAUCUACUUUGUUGUUGCAAGUUUUAUGUGGCUGCUACGGCUUACCUAUGGCAAAAAUCACAACGGUGUUUCAUCAAAUUUGCUAUUUUAACCUUCUUCAAGGAUCGGCCGUAGUCAAAUUCGAUUCAACUAAAGUAGGAGAAACAGACAUCCGCCGGCCACCUUUAUGCAAAACUAGUUGCAUGUCUGUCGGUGGAACCGGUCUCAUAUGCGUGGACAUGUAAGGUUGGUCCGGGCCACUUCAUCCCACAAUACUAUCGAAUCAAAAUAAGACGUUGGUGGCAAGCAGUAUAACUAUCACCGCCCACAACUCUUUGUGUUCCACUCGUGCAUAUCAUCUACGUAUAGACCUGGCUCUGAUAUCACUAUUGGAAAAUGUUGCAUGGAAAACAAAAAAAAUUCUACGCACACGCAAGAUCUAUCAAGGAGAUGCAUAGAAACGAGAGGGGAGAGUGUGUCUACGUACCAUCAUAGAUCGUAAGAAAAAACGUUCACAACGUGGUUGAUGUAGUCGAACUUUCUUCAUGCUCCAACUGAUCUAGUACCGAAUGCAUGGCACCUCUGUGUUCUGCACACAUUCAGCUCGGCGACGUCCUCCGCCUUCUUGAUCCCGUAAGACGGCGAGGUAGCAGCACGACAGCGUGGUGCUGGUGAUGGUGAUGUGAUCUCCGCAGGGCUUCACCUAAGCACUACGAAAAUAUGACCGAGGGAAUAAACGGUGGACGGGGGUGCCGCAUACGGCUAAGACAAUGGUGUGUCCUUGUGUGGCGCCCCCNNNNNNNNNNNNNNNNNNNNNNNNNNNNNNNNNNNNNNNNNNNNNNNNNNNNNNNNNNNNNNNNNNNNNNNNNNNNNNNNNNNNNNNNNNNNNNNNNNNNNNNNNNNNNNNNNNNNNNNNNNNNNNNNNNNNNNNNNNNNNNNNNNNNNNNNNNNNNNNNNNNNNNNNNNNNNNNNNNNNNNNNNNNNNNNNNNNNNNNNNNNNNNNNNNNNNNNNNNNNNNNNNNNNNNNNNNNNNNNNNNNNNNNNNNNNNNNNNNNNNNNNNNNNNNNNNNNNNNNNNNNNNNNNNNNNNNNNNNNNNNNNNNNNNNNNNNNNNNNNNNNNNNNNNNNNNNNNNNNNNNNNNNNNNNNNNNNNNNNNNNNNNNNNNNNNNNNNNNNNNNNNNNNNNNNNNNNNNNNNNNNNNNNNNNNNNNNNNNNNNNNNNNNNNNNNNNNNNNNNNNNNNNNNNNNNNNNNNNNNNNNNNNNNNNAGGUGCAAGAAGGUAGCCUAGGGCAACCAGGGCGCGGCCCAAGGGGCUGGCACCGGCCCUAGGGCUCCUGCCCUCCUGCCCCCCCCCCUUCCUUGUAUGACCAAGGGAGAAGGAAAGAGAGGGGGAGAGGGAAGGAAGGGGGAGUCCUACUCCACACUUUCCUUUCCCUCCCCUCUUUCCUUCUCCUCCUCAUAGGGCCGGCCACUAUAGGGUUGUACCAACCCCUUGUGGGCUGGUGUGUUCCCUAUCUUGGCCCAUAAGGCCCAUAGCUUUGUCGGGGGUGCCCGGAACUCCUUUCUAGUGACCCGAUAAGUACCUGGUACCCCCCAAAACACUUCCGGUGUCCGAAUACCAUCAUCAUAUAUAUCAAUCUUUACCUCUCGACCAUUUUGAGACUCCUCAUCAUGUCUGUGAUCUCAUCCGGGACUCCAAACAACAUUCGGUCACCAAAUCACAUAACUCAUAUGAUACAAUAUCAUCAUCAAACGUUAAGCGUGCGGACCCUACGGGUUCGAGAACUAUGUAGACAUGACCGAGACACCUCUCCGGUUAAUAACCAAUAGAGGAACCUGGAUGCCCAUAUUGGCUCCUACAUAUUCUAUGAAGAUCUUUAUCGGUCGAACUGUUAUGACAACAUAUGUAAUUCCCUUUGUCCAUCGGUAUGUUACUUGCCCGAGAUUUGAUCGUCGGUAUCUCUAUACCUAGUUCAAUCUCGUUACCGGCAAGUCUCUUUACUCGUUCCUUAAUACAUCACCUCAUGACUAACUCCUUAGUCAUUUGCUUGCAAGCUUAUGAUGUGUAUUACCGAGAGGGCCUAGAGAUACCUGUAGAGCAUCUUUAUGAUCACCCAGUUACGUUGUGACGUUUGAUAGCACACAAAGUAUUCCUCCGGUAUUCGAGAGUUGCAUAAUCUCAUAGUCGAAGGAAUAUGUAUUGGACAUAAAGAAAGCAAUAGCAAUAAACUGAACAAUCAAUAUGCUAAGCUAACGGACGGGUCGUGUCCAUCACAUCAUUCUCCUAAUGAUGUGAUCCCGUUAUCAAAUGACAACACAUGUCCAUGGUUAGGAAACUUUAACCAUCUUGGAUCAACGAGCUAGUCUAGUAGAGGCUUACUAGGGACAUGGUAUUUGUUUAUGUAUUCACACAUGUAUUUAAGUUUCCGAUCAAUACAAUUCUAGCAUGAAUAAUAAAUAUUUAUCAUGAAUAAGAAAAUAUAAAAUAACAACUUUAUUAUUGCCUCUAGGGCAUAUUUCAUUCAGCUACUGUCCCCAUGCAUUUACAAAAAACACUCCAUACAUACUUGGCUGCAGAGCAACCAAAGAAAAGAUGGUUUAUAUCUUUAUUAUCAGGGAAGAAACUACACAGAUGAUCACCCACCCAUUUCCUUUCUAGCAUGUUAUCCAUCAUGGCUAUUGCAUUAUGCCAGAUUAGCCAUAGCCAAAAUUUGUUUUUUGGAGGAAUUUUGGCUUUCCAUAAAUGUUUAAAUGAUCUAUCAAGAUAUCUCUCAAAGAGAUGAUCAUAAGUCGAUUUAGAAGUGAACUUUCCUUUACUAUUCCUUUCCCAAAUUGGAACUUCCUCUCCUACAUCAUCAAUAGACACUUGUAGCAGGAUUCUUCUCAAUCUAUUCAACUAGAUCAUCUGGUCUGCAGAAAGUCGUCUUCUAAAAUUAAAAUUACAGCUUUUGCCAGUCAUAUCUAUCACACAGACAUUUUGUUCCAUACACACAUGACAUGUCUUCAUCGUAUCUACUUUUCCAUACACUUUUGCUCUUGUUUUGGACUCUAAUUUGCAUGAUUUGAAUGAAACUAACCCAGACUGAUGCCAUUUUUAGUAGAACUACCAUGGUGUUGUUUCUUGUGUAGAAAUAAAAGUUCUCAGAAUUGGAUGAAACUUUUUGAGUUUUUUGACAAAAUAUAUAAAAAAUACUGGAGCGAAGAUCCACUAGAGGAGGGCCACCAGUUGCCCACAAGACAACGGGGCGCGACCACCACCAUGGGCGCGCCGUGUUACCAAGUGGGACCCACGUGGCUCCACUGACCCUAAUCUCUAGUCUAUAAAUAUUGUCUUCUCGAGAGAAAAAAAAUAAGAGAAGAAGUUUCAUCGCGUUUUAUGAUACGGAGCCACCGCGACCUCCUGUUCUUCAUCGGGAGGGCUGAUCUAGAGUCCAUUCAGGUCUCCGAAGAGGGGGGGUUCAUAGCCAUCAUCAUCACCAAUCCUUGUUCUUCGCCAAUUUCAUGAUGCUCCCCAUCGGGAUUGAGUAAUUCCUUCGUAGACUUGCUAGACAGUGAUGGAGUUGGAUGAGAUUUGUCAUGUAAUCGAGUAAAUUUGUUAGGGCUUGAUCCCUAGUAUUCACUAUGUUCUAAGAUUGAUAUUGCUAUGACUUUGCUAUGCUUAAGGCUUGUCACUAGGGCCCGAGUGCCAUGAUUUUAGAUCUGAAUAUAUUUGAGUUAUUGGUCCUAUCUUGCAAGUUGUAUGCACCUAUUACGUGUUAUGAUCCGCAUAUACCCCAAGGUGACAAUGAUUGGGAUUCUUUCUGGUGAUUACGAUACUAUGAGGAGUUCAUGUAUUUACCAUGUGUUGAUGCUUUGUUCCCGUUCUAUACUAAAAGGAGGCCUUAAUAUCCCUUAGAUUUCCUUACAGACCCUGCUGCCACGGGAGGGUAGGACAAAAGAUGUCAUGCAAGUUCUUAUUAUAAGCACGUAUGACUCUAUACGGAAUACACACCUACAUUACAUUGAUGAAUUGGAGCUAUUGUGUACGGCUCUAGGUUGUGACUGUUAUAUAUGAUGAAUGUCAUCCAACACAAAUAUCCAUCAGGAUCCAAUGUCUAUGCUUUUCGCAUAUUGAUCUUUGCUAAGUUACUUUCGUUGUUGUUGCUGCUACAAUCACUACAAAACUGCCAUCGUUACUGUUACCACUACCAUUUUUAAUGUUACUGCUCGUAAUAAACUAUCAUUCUAGUGUGCUACUAUACACUUUGCUGCAAAUAUUUAGUUCUCCGGUGUGGUUGAAUUGAAAAAUCAACUGCUAAUACUUGCAAAUAUUCUUUGUCUCUGCUUGUGUUGAAUCAAUAAAUUUGGGUGAUGUAACAUCCUGGUUUUUUCCCUUUCUUUUUCUUUUGUAUUUCUUUGAGAUUUUUAUUUGGAAUUCCUUUUCUGUGGCUUUGUGAUCUUGAAGCUUGGGAAGAUCAUCUCUUCUUACUUCCCCAAGUGUCUUGUCAUCCCCAAAUCCAUCCAAGACCAUGUCAUUUCCAUCUUAGCCCAAACCCAAAUUCUUUUUAUUGGGAAUAUUCUGUUUCCUAUUAAAAAAAUAACCCUGUCUGCCCUAGGUUAUGGAGCAACCAAUAUUUCUGCCUUUCUCGAAUUUCCCACAAAAUUCUAUAAAUUCCUUUGGACCAUAUGGACCUUGGAUAUGUAAAAUAUUCAAUAUUGCAUGCUCAUGGUGAGCACACCAUCCAAUCUCUGAUUCUGGUCAUAUUUUUAGAUUGUGAAGCAACUAUAUUUUAUAUUGCUCCAUAACUUCUGAAAAUUUACCAGAGCAUCCUCAUACCUAUAUAACCCCUCUCCACUAAAUUUGAGCUCAUUUCAUCUAGCCAUUAAUUCUCAAUAUUUUCCCAAGAUUCUGUCCAAAGAAGAGCAUUGUGUAGGAAGUACCAUUUUUAUUAAUCCAAAUAGUAUGAAAUUAUUAUAGUACCUUCAUAUGCCCAAAUAACUCCUCUCCACAAAAUUUCAGCUCAAUCCAACACUCCAUUUGAGUGCAUCAUCCAAUUCCAUUUUCUGGAUCAGAUUGGUAGUUGUGAAACAACUAUAUUAAAUAUUGGUCUAAAUCAUCUCAAAUUUCACAGGAUUAUAGUCCUUCAUACCCUAAACCUCUAUGGCAUCUUGUUUACCUGUUUACCCAUUCCUUUUUACCUCAUCAUCUGGCCCAAGUUUGCUACAGAAACUUUAGCUAAUGCAUCCCAUCAACACAGAGUAUCUUUCUUUGAGCCAUCACUUCAUAGAGGUCCCAUUUGGGAUGGAUUACAUGCUUGACACGGUCAAACACGCUUAGUCACCAUACAUGUGUCGGCGCACGCGGUGACCACGCAGUCUGGCAUGCCAGACGCGCGCUCUGCUCAUUUAGCCGUGCCUAGAGCAUCGUUUAGCUCCGACCCCUCCUCUGCUCAUCAUUCUCGGGCGCCCCAUCAUGUCCCAGAGCUUCGUGGCAGCCAUGCGCUUGCUCUGGACCCCUCUCCCCCUCCUCUUUCCUCCCUAGUGCGCCACGACGACACUGCCCGUGACAUUGUGGCCGACCGGACUUCGCCCCUCCCGCGGCUGCUCUCCCUGCUCCCCUGGCACUCCUUUGGCUCUCUCAUGUCACCGUCCAAGCCUGCCCCCAAGCGCACGCAUACACGGUCGUGCCAGAGCCGCAGCCACGCGUCCACGGCAUUGUCGGCCCGGCUAUGUAAGCCAUCCCCGAGGCCCUACUAAUACUCAAUCAGCCUCUCCACUCCCCUCGACGCCUCCCCGACCCCUCCAUUCGUCUCUAGAGUUUUUCCUUGCUCGCCACAGCCACCAUGGGCCACUGCCCCUGCCGGCUAAAAUUCAAGCGAGCGGAGCCCUCCCUCUCCACUCUGCCACCACCACAGACCUCCACCUUCACCAUAGAUCUCGCCCCGCAGCCCCUUUCUUCCUCCAGUGCCUUGUGACAUGUUUCCCAUCAUCGGUCGACGCCACUCUACAGCACGGCCAAGGCCCUCCUUGUUCAUGGGCUCACCGGCGAGCGUGUGCCCUCUAGGCGGGUGCGCCUCAUUCCACUGAGCACCCGGUGGCAAGAGCUCGGCCAGAGUGGCCGGGCCGCCGAAGGUCGCCAUCGGAGCACGCGGCUGCUCUCUGUCCCGUGGGCGAGCACGUGGUUGAAGAUGACAACUCCCCUGCCAAUGGGUCCCGCACGUUGGCCUCACGCGUUGACUCAGCUGACCCGGUGAUGUGGAUAAGUGAAGGUGUACUUCGUGGUUUGCGUUUUCUAUAGUUGAAAGCAUAUUUCCCUGCCGCAUAGAGCUAAAAUACGUCUUCUGUGUAGGAAAGCGUAUUUCCAUAAGUACAUUUUCUUUAUUCGGUCAACGGCCAAAACCCUUAUAUUGUGGAUGUUCGUCCGUUAAUCGUAGAAAUGGACCGUUUUUUUAUUUUUCUGCCUAAAGAACGAACGGCCGUAUCUUUGCAACCAUAACUCCGAAUCAGGUGAUUCCAAAUCCCACAUUCUUUAUUCAUCGAGCCUGUUCUGUUGGUGCCAUUUUCAUUAUGUUUUCAUAAUCUAAAAAUGGCCAUUUUGCCCUUGCCCCUUAAUCAGCUCCGUUGAGAGGGAAAUUUUUCCGGUAAAUCUUUCCACAAGUAGACCGUACUUCUUCCCGAUGAAUCCUUCAUCCCCAGGCAAGCCACAAUAGCCACUUGCAUGAUGGCCUUGAAGUAGCCAUGGUUUUCCAAUUGAAUAUUUAAAUACUUUGUGCAUGUUAACAUUUUGUGGAUGUUUUAUAUGCUUGUGAAUCCAUGCUUAUUCUCAUGGUGUAUUUGUAUCUACCUAGUUAAAUGAUUAAAUGCUAAUGUCAUUAUUGUCAUGUUUCAUCCUUGUAACUAUUUCAUUUGCUAGUGAUAAUGAUAUGCUCACAUGAAUAGUUAUCGUUUGUAUGCUAAUACAUGUGAUAUUCAUGAUCAUCACUAUGUCAUGCUCAUUUGCAUCCAAUAGCCUAAAUGGUUUAAUAUUGUUGCUUCAUAUGUUAAAUGGUUACCCAUCCUUGUCUAGGUUGUUAUCAUGCUCAUAUGCAUUGUCAUUUUAUCAAGUUAUUUUGUUAUGACUCAGCUCAUCAUCAUUCAAGUUUAACCGGACAGUAAUCAAACUUGAACAAAUCUAUUGGUUGGGUCAUGUGCUAUCAAAUCAAGUUGACCAGUGCAGCCACACUUGCCUUAUUGGGGGGACCUAAUUCGGUCUAUUGUCAUGCCUCUUGUCAGUGCCUCCAACUAGGAAAGGUUAUGUGUGCGUGCUACACUGAUUAGGUAGGCGGCCAUAAGCCUUGUGUGCCCGAGUUGUUUUAGGUGCCUUUGUCCCUGUUUGAGACAUUUUUAUUUUAGUUUGGCCACGACGGUGGUCGGCCACGAGAGUGGUGGAUGUCAGUAGUUGGCAUCGGGGCCACCCAUGACUUAGCCCAAAGGGGAGUUUGUCGGAGUGGCCGGGAGAGUGUCAUGCAAUAGAUUGGUUUUGCCGGAAUGUCGUUGGUCCACCCAAAUGGGAGCACGAGGCCAUGAAUUCCAUGGUGUGGAUAGUGUACUAACCUCUGUAGAGGUAUAGUCUAUCGAUAGCCGCGCCCUCGGUUAUGGGCCCAUUUUGUAGUAGGUCACACUAUGGGUCAAUAGUAAUAAUAAUCUGUAUAACAAACAAACCUAGUUCUAUGAGGAAAGAAUUUGGUUGAUCUUUAUGUGAUCAUGUGUGGAUCAUGAUGGUAUCGUGGAUAGUGAUCUUGGUUGAUAAUAUGGUGAUCGCGUGAUGACCAUGGUGGUAAGUAAGAUUGAUAUUUAUGGUGGUUAUGAUAUAACCUCCGAGCAAAGUAAGUUGUUCCAUGAGACCUUAAACACCGACCCCCCUCUGUAUGAUAGGUUUUAGUAUCAUCAUGUUAAUAUCAUGAAUUAUGUACAUGCCAUGCUCAUGUUGUUCUAAUGGUAUCAUGUUCAUCAAUUUUUAACCUGUAAAUGCCAUGUUGUUGUUUGUCUUGAUUGUUUUGGUUGUUGUGAGCUUGCGAGUACAUUCAAAGUACUCACCUGGCAUGUCAUGCCAAAUUGCAGGCCUUGCAAUGAUUGAUUGCUUGUCGAGGAUCCCGAGUUUGUGAGCUAGGAUUGCAUCCUAGCCAGAGUCCCUCGGAGUGGAGUUCACCGCCGUCAUCGUUUUUCCGCUGCUAGAUGUUAUUCGCUUCCACAACUUGUUCCACUGAUAGCAUAGAGAUGCAUUAGCAAGCGUAGUGUCAUCAUGCCGAUGUAAUCCUUUGUAAUACAUGAACCCUUGUACCCAUGUUAUUUGCAAUAGAGAGCUGAUUUAUUCUAUUCCAAUUAGUGUCGUAUUCCAGAAGACUUGAUCUCUGGGCUGGAAUAUGGGGUGUUUUGGUUCCUCUGAGCCGGGGUGCCACAGGUGAAAUACUACCCUCAAAGACUGUCGCGCUCCACUAUACUUGUGUGUUAUCAACACACCAUAAAGAUUAGCAAAUUGGCAUCUUAGGACACCACUACUAAUCCUUCUAUCGUUCUAGAAGUCUGUUUGUUUUCCACUGACCACCUUCAUACUUCUCCCUCUCAAAUAUAUAUCUCUAAUCUUCAAGAAAUCAAUCCAAUAUGGGGAAUCUCUGGUAGUGAAUUUAACCUAUCUAAUUCCUUGGGAGAUCUUAUAUUUUUUUCCUAACAAUCUCCUACCAAAGCCCCUCCUUGCUUUCAAGUUCCACCACCAUUUGCACAACAGGCUGAUGUUGAACUUUUCUGGAUUUUUAAUCCCCAAACCCCCUUUCCUUUUUAUUCUACAGACCAUACUCCACUUCACCAGAUGAUAUUUCUUCUUGACACUGCUUCCUUGCCAAAAGAACUUCCCGAUUGCUUUUUCCAUCCUCCCCAAAUUUGUUUAGGGGAAUUUGUACAUAGAGAAGCCAAAUACAAGCAUGUUGGUCAAGCAAGCACCAGUCCUAAUCACUCUACCCCCAAGAGAUAGGUCACCUGCUUCCCAUCAUUCCAAUUUAUAAUACAUGCACUCUUCUAUAGGUAUCCAGUCUUCCACAUGCAGUCUGCUACCAAAUACAGGCACACCCAGAUAUUUAAUGAGUCAUUUCCCUUCUUUGCAAUUCAGCGUCUCAGCAUACCUUUUUUGCUUUAGAUCAUCAUGUAUAACCAUAAUCACUUCACUUUUUUGGAAGUUAAUUUUCAACAUAGACAUUUGCUCAAAUAGAUAAAGCAAUAACUUCAGGUUCCUCACAUCCUCCAUCUUAUCUUGCAACAGGAUGAUGGUAUGAUCAACAUAUUGUAGGAUGGCAACCCCCUUAUCAAUCAUAUGAGGAAUAAAACUAGUUAUAUUCCCAUUCUCCUGAGCCUUUUGAACCAUUCCUUGUAAAUAGGUUGCAACUAUAUUAAAGAGGAAAGGAGACAGGGCCCCCCUGCCUCACCCAUUUAUAAUUGCCAAAAAAUCCCUACACAAUCAUUUAUUUUUACAUUGAGAUUUCCCCCUUUCACCAUAGUUGAGAACCCAUCCCAUCCAUUUUUCAUUGAGUCCCCUAUCUUUUGAGCACUGGAAGAGGAAUUCCCAAUUUAACUUUAUCAUAUGCCUUCUCAAAAUCCAGCUUCAGCACUACCCCCUAUUGUUUCUUCACCUUAACGUCAUGAACAACUUCAUGUAAGGACAUCACCCCAUCCAUAAUAUUUCUCCCCCUAAUGAAAGCAUUCUGACUUAUUUAUAUGAGCUUUUUCAUAUAUGGUUUGACUCUAUCACCCAAUGCUUUAGGGAACAUCUUGAAGAACACUGGCAGCCAAAAGACAUAUAGGCUUAAAUUUUUGUGUUGUGUCAGCAUCGGCUCCUUUUGGUAGCAAGGUAAUCACUCCAAAUUUUAUCUGAUAUAAAUCUAAUCUCCCUUCAUAGAAGUCAUGGAAACACAUCACGAUAUCAUAUUUCACAAUAUUCGAACAAGCCUAGUAGAAUUCAAUAGGGAACCUAUCACACCGUUAGCUUUAUUCUUUUUAAUUCCAUCAAUCACCGCUUUCAUCUCCUCUUCACAGAAAGGUCUAGAUAACUUAGCCCUAUCCUCUAUGUUAAUUUCUUGGCAUCUGUCCACACAUCUUCUCUGAGACAACAUUUAAACGCUUCAGCAGGACUAAAGAAUUUCUUAUAAUAAGUAGUAGCAUGGUCAACCAGAGCCCCAGUCCCUUGAAUCAUUAUGUACCCAUGCUUUAAGAAAAAGAUUUUCUUCCUCCUUUUUCUCCCAUUAGCAAUUCUAUGGAAGUAUCCAGCGUAAUUAUCCCCUUUCAAUAACCAGUCCUCACUUGAUCUUUUUUGCCAAUAUUCUUCUUCUUCCAAUAGAUUACACAAGGAGCUUUGUAUAAACCUUCUUCUCUCCAUCUACUCUCUUGUUAGAGUUUGGAUCUCUUCCAGCUCUUCUAGAUCUUUCAACUCAUCAACCCAUUUAGCUUUUGCUCUCAGUGUGUGCCCCCUUCUAUUUUUACCCCACCCUUUCAAAUAGAUGCUAACUUCCUUUAAUUUUUUCUGCAUUACCUCCAAACUGUCGUUCGCACAAAUGGGUUCACUCGAUAUUUGUUCCACUAUCCCCAUGAAACCUCCCUCCGCAACCACCCAGUCUCAAAUCUGAAGGAUAUUUUUUAUUUCCUUCUCCUCCAUUGUAUCCAUAAUCAAAGGAUUAUGAUCAGAAACAAUUCUUGUUAGUUUAUGCACAUUUGUAGGGAAAACAGUUGUUCCCACCCUUUGCACAUGAGUAUUAUGUACAAUUUCUCCAAGUUGGGAUUCUAUUGAUUACUGGACCAAGUAAAAUCACCUCCUGCUAGGUGCAUUUACCUUAACUCAUAUAAGUUGAUAAUGGGGUUGAAUGUAUCCACAUGUUUGCCCCCAUGAAAGACUUAUUUUUCUCUUGAGAGGAUCUCAAAAGGUUAACACCCCUAUUAUCGCAGGGAUUCUUUGACCAUAGAACAUUGCAGCUAGUUCAGUAAGGAACUCCUGCUUGUGUUCAUCUUGAGCAGCUCCAUACACUAUCACCAUAGCCCAACGAAUAGCAGUCCAGUAUCAAAUAGCUGGAUAAAAUCCCCUUGAGAUGAUCAAGUGAUGUUAAAUCUACAAGAUUUAACACCACCAAGGAUCCCUCCAGAUCUCCUGUUAGUAGGUAACCAAUGACAUGAAAAUUGACUAAGAGGGUCAAUCUUCCUAAAAAAAAGCUAGGAGGAUAUUUUUUGUCAUAGUUUCCUGGAGCCCUACAAAAUCCACAUCAUGAUCCCUCAUAUUUUCCUACAAAUAUGUGACCAACCCUUUUUUCCCACACCCCCCACAGUUCCAUAUAAGGCCUAUCAUUGAGAAUAGGUAUUUUUUUUCUUUUACCCCUCUCUUACUAGUAGCCCCCCCUCAUGCAAAGGAUGAGAAGGUCCUUUUAUCAUACCUUGUUUAACCAUUCCCCUGGUCACCAUUCCCCCAUUUUUCACAGGCAUUGUCUUGUCCUUUCUCAUUUCAUCCUUUCCAUCUUCUUCCGCUUUUUGAGGUUUGAUCUAGAUAGCAUCACAGUAAAGGAAUUUUCCUGCAUUUAUUUGUCUUCAUUCUCCCAAUCUAAAAACUUGACAUGACUCUUCUGUCUCUUCUUAUCCAACUCAUUUUAUUCUCAAUGUUAUCCCUAGAAUCUCCAAAUCACAUUAAUAAAUGCAAAGUAUUAACAUCAACGCCUAAUUCAAGAGCCGUAACUACACCAUCAUGAUUGGAUAAAACAAUAAAAGAGUUGUCAUCAUUUUAUCAUACCUUCCCCUUCUUGUUGAGAUUUUCUUGUCUCGGCUUUCUUCCUCAUGUCUUUAGCAUCAUUAUGCUGAUCUUCAAUCCUUGAGCUCCUUCUUGUUGGGGCAGUAGGUGUUUCAUCUCUCCCUACUGUGACAUUUUCCAUCACAUUUUCACCCUCCUCCACCCGUGAAUCAAUAAUAGCAGGUUGAGAGCUAUGAAGAGGUAUUGACUCAUGUGAGUCCAGAAUCUUGUGCACCCCUUCCACCCCUACACCAUCAAUCACACUCGACAUAGUUUGUUCCUGCUCAGCAUCACUGUGGUUAGAUUCAUCCUGUUUUUUUUUUCUCAUGUUCAUUUUCAUUAUUUUUCACAUCCUGGUCCCCUUCUUCCAUAGUCCCCAAGAUUGUUUGAUAUUUAUUUUCCAGUUAUCACAUUUAUCACAGUUGGUCUUGGCUAUUUGUUUGAUCAAAUUUGGGAUUGACAUCUUAUCACCAGGGUUUUAUCACACCUCCAAUGCCUUGUUGUAUGGUAGCCAAGGCACCAAUCACUUCCCUAUAGACCUCAUCCCCUCAUCCAAUUCAUUCUUGUUGGUUGUCAUAGAUUCUACUAGAUCCCCUGCAGGUACAUGAACAAGUGGGACAUUGUCACUCUAAGAAGAGCCCCAUGUUUUUCCACCUCCAUGUCACCAAGUUUCCCUCGGAAGGCCAAAUUCACUUUGGCUCCAAAUGAUAUACUCCCUCCAGUAGCCCCAAAUACCUGUCUAUUUCUAUUUCUGGCAUCCCUCAUGAAUCCAUUUCCUCUUCUAUUUUGAUCAUUCCUUUUUCCUAAGAAGAUGAUGUACAUGAGAUGGUAUUAAAAAAUACUAAAUGGGAAGGUAGGCCAGUGUGCUUUGAGAUUGUAACGUCCACGUGUCUUUCAUUGGAGUGGGUAUAACUCCCAACAAAUGAGACUUGGUGUCACAGAUUUUUUUUCUCUGGCUAGUAAGAUGCAACACUAAGGGAUCUGCUAGCGUUUAUAGUCGACGAUUCACGUUUAUCUCGCGCAAGCGCAGCGGCACAACAUCAGAUCCAGAAAAACUCGCACCAUGGAGUUCCACUUCCGCGCUGGCGACGAGCGUUAUCCGCCGAUGGAGGUCGCGGCUAUGUCGGCCAACUCCGAGACUGCAGGUAAAGUCUCCUCGCUGAUGACGGCUCUUGGCUCUUGAUGCCUCUCUUCCACUGAUCUUAUUGCCUUUGGUUAAGCCACGCGCGUGCAUGUCGGACUCAUCGGCGGCGACGACGCUGGGUACCACGGGGAGAUCUCACCACCACUGGUGUUAGAUCUGGAUGAGCUGCAACGCCGGGCGACAAAGGAGAGGAUAAGGGAACGGAUCCUGCGAGAGGAGGCGGAGGCCAUGGCGCUCGAGGCCGAGGUCCGCCGUGAGCUCAUGGAGGAGCGUGCCAGUUUGCUCACGGGGCUGGCCGGCGGGUCGGAACAUAGGGCGGUGCCCACGGUGGCAUCGGUGAAGACGGUGGUGCCGUACUUUCAUGAGGUUUGCUAAUCUCGGGAUUCAACCUUCUGCUGCUCUAAGGAUUCAACCUUUUGAAUCUAGGUCUCCAACUCUUUUUUAUCCCCUAACUUUUCCAAAUUAUGUGUUCUUCUUCAAUCUGUGCAGGCCGGGUCGAAAGUAGAAGUCUCUGCUGUUGUGCCAGGCAAGCAGAAAAACCCUGAUGUACAUGAUACAUCUGCUGUUUUGGCGGCCACGGGAAGCAAGAAGCCGAAGCCAGGUCUAACUUGCACAGUGUGCGACAUCGCGGCAACCAGUGAGGUUGCCCUGCAAGAGCACCUCAGAGGGAAGAGCCACGGGAGGAAGGCCGCUAAACUUGCGCAACCAUUGCCUGGAACAGGUCAACCAGUGGAGGAUGCGGUAAUAAAAAGCAGCAUAUAUACACAUUUCAGUUUGAUAUCUCCGCACUGAAAUACAAAAUUCAAAGUGUUGUUUCCUUUAUGAUGUCCAAUAUCUAAUUUGUCGAACUCAAUUUGAAUCUUGUUCUUUAGGUGAAACAAAUUUGGAAAUAACGCUCAAGCGUUCAUAUGUGAUGUUAAAAGCAUCAUAAUAUCUUGCUACUGCAUAAGUUAUAUGGAUCUCCGAAUCAAAUUGUCCUAAAUUGUGUUUUCAUUUGAAUUGUACUGGCCUUACAUCUUCAUAUUCAAGUAUAUAUGAAUUCAUGUUUGUUUUGAAUACAUGAACACGUAUGUUGUCUGGGCUUGAGUUCAUAUCCUAGGCUACUGCAAUUCUUUUUUGUUGAUACCUUGAUGCCCUACUAAUAAUGUCGUUGUAUUCAGUCUUCACUAGUAUUCUUGAAUUACCUACAUUUUACAGCCUAGCUAGUUAGAGUGGCUUGGUUAGAUGUAACGUGUGACACUAGUAAAUCACACAUCUUGAGGAAAAUAAAUAGGUCUCAAUUGCUUCUGAUACUAUGAAUACAUACAACAAUUCUAUAUAUCUAGAGAGAUGUAUAUAUAUUUGGUGGUAAGACUUGCAACAAUCCAAGAUAAAGCUUUACAUGUCAUGUUGUUACCAAAUACAAAUAAUUCAUACUAACCUUCUACAAGUUUUUUCCUUUCAAUAGUAAAAUAGAUCCACUGAUGGUGGGUNNNNNNNNNNNNNNNNNNNNNNNNNNNNNNNNNNNNNNNNNNNNNNNNNNNNNNNNNNNNNNNNNNNNNNNNNNNNNNNNNNNNNNNNNNNNNNNNNNNNNNNNNNNNNNNNNNNNNNNNNNNNNNNNNNNNNNNNNNNNNNNNNNNNNNNNNNNNNNNNNNNNNNNNNNNNNNNNGAGAUCCGUGUAACAUCUUUUAGGUUUGCCAUUGAUUAAUCUUUUGUUUUUCUAAUUGCACUAAGACGAGUUCUUAGCAUUAAGUAGUAACAAGGUUAAAUGUUGAUACUAUGUAUACAUAUGGAUCUUUUUUGGGGAAUCUUUUUUGAGUUCAUGGGGAACUUCUUUUAGGCAUAUAAAUCUUAAUCAUCAACCAACUUUUUUGUACUUUUAUAGAAAGUUAGUAACUUAUACUACUUUUAUACUAUUAUGGAAUUUUGGUUAAGUAUUCAUGAUCUGACAUUUUGAUACCACUAGUCUGACAUAUACUCUGUUGGAACCGUAUUAGUAUGAUGUUAGCAUGCUUCAUUAACUGCAUCCCUAUGAAGGAAUGAUGAUAGCAUAGUGUUUGCAUGGAUCACGAGGCAUGCAUUGAACCGAGAUAACAUGGGGUGGCACUGCCACCAGAGGGGUGGCAUAGUCACCGGGUGUUAAAAAUCCACAUAAUANNNNNNNNNNNNNNNNNNNNNNNNNNNNNNNNNNNNNNNNNNNNNNNNNNNNNNNNNNNNNNNNNNNNNNNNNNNNNNNNNNNNNNNNNNNNNNNNNNNNNNNNNNNNNNNNNNNNNNNNNNNNNNNNNNNNNNNNNNNNNNNNNNNNNNNNNNNNNNNNNNNNNNNNNNNNNNNNNNNNNNNNNNNNNNNNNNNNNNNNNNNNNNNNNNNNNNNNNNNNNNNNNNNNNNNNNNNNNNNNNNNNNNNNNNNNNNNNNNNNNNNNNNNNNNNNNNNNNNNNNNNNNNNNNNNNNNNNNNNNNNNNNNNNNNNNNNNNNNNNNNNNNNNNNNNNNNNNAGUUUUUUUCAUUUGCGAGAGAUAAGACUAUUUCUUAUAUGUGUGAAUUGACCGGUGUUUGUGUUUGAUGCAGUUCAGCUUGAAGGUAAAAGGGUCGGCAGCCUUACCGGCCAAGGGGACAAACCCUGGUGUUGUUGACGCUUCGAUGGCUCUCGCUGAAAAGAGUGGUGACAACUUGGGCUUGAACUGCAUGGUCUGCGGCAUCACAGCAAGCAGUCAGAAGAACAUGCAAGAUCACCUCAAAGGGAAAAUUCAUAUGAGGAAGACUGCCAUGCUCGCGCAACCAUAUCCUAAGGAGGAUGGGGUAAGGAAUAUGGUUUAGACUUUGCCAACCCUACCCAAAUUCAACAAAACAAUAUAUAUGUGUGUUUUACUGUAGCAUGGUUAACUAUAAUAUUCAUAAGUUCAUAUGAAGCUACUUGAAUCGGUUGUCUUUCCAACUCAUUUAUUGACCACAAUACUGCCUCCUUACAAAUAUGUAACACCCCCUCAAAUUAUGAGCGUAACUUUGACUAAUAAGAUCUGAGUUGUAUGCCACAAAAAAUAUAUCACUGAUUUUGUAUCUGAAAGAAGUUUCAAAUGCUAUAGUUUUUGUGGCAUAUAGCUGAAAUUUUAUUAGUCAAAUUUAUAGUUGAAGUUAGGCUGAAAGCUAGAGAGGGUCUUAUAUGCUUGAAAGUAGGUAUUAUUCUGAUCCUAUUAGUGUAAAGUGCUCGUUCUUUUGUAUACAAAAGGGCCCAAACUGCAAAUCAAGUAGUAAUACAUGGCCAAAGUGUAUCAUGAUUUCUGGAACAUAAAGAGGUCUCAAAGGCUAUUUAAGCAUGAUUGCUGAGAAACCAAUUUUAUAUGUUCUUACAACUGUCUUUGGUGCUAAUUUCUAGUCUAGUAAAAUGUUUGCAUUCUUCCAUUAUCUUUGAACAUUGAGAGGCGCGAGAAGCACCGGAGCUUGCGAGAAGAGAUUUUCUAAACCUAGGAACAUAUGAACCCUAUAGCCUUAUAAGGCUAAAGAAGUUUGAUAAAAUACACCGCAUGAGACAUGUGGUUAGCAAAAUCAAAAUACAUAGAGGAUGGAUACAAGUAUAUGCAUCUAAAAUUUAAAACUUAAAUAUGACCUUACACUGUUCCUUGUUCAUCUAGGUCUCAUAGAGUCCUAUUUAAGUUUUAAAGUUUGCACGCGCAUACUUGUAUCCUUUCCUAAUUGCACGAUUUAUGUCAUAUUUUGCUGAAACUUAUGUGCAUAUUUUUAGGGUUUAUAAGGUUCAGAUGUACUCCCUUCAUUCCAUAAUUCUUGUCCUGGUUUUAGUUCAAAAACAUAGAUUCAUCGUCAAUGCCAGUUCAAAGACUUGGUAUUUCAGGAGAUUCCACUAUCAAUGUUGCAGCGAGGGAUGUGCCACUAGUGUCUUUCCAAGUUUUUUGCUAGUGCCAUCUCAGUCCUUUUCCUGUCAAUCUCUCCUUCCCUGACCAUGUGAUGUUUUGGUGUUGCACUCUCCUUUCAAACCUUGGUUGGUUUUAUCCGGCAUUAUAUUUUGACAUCUUAUCAUUUCUCAAGACGUGAUUGGGAAAAACCCAACCAAGGUUGAUCGUCUGAACGGUCUGAAAAGACAGCAGAACAUGAAACAUCACAUGGUCAGAGAAGGAGAGAGUGACAGAAAAGGGACUGAGAUGGCACUAGCACAAAGCUAUGAAAACAUUAGUGGCAUAUGUCUGAAUACACCAUUUUUGUUUCAAAGUGUGAUUUUGCCUCUGUUCUUCCUCAGGUCUCCAUAACCUAAAUGGGUGUCUGCUUAGUGGAGUUUGUGUUUUUUCAUGCAGGUCUGCUCAAAAUCAAAUGCAUCAGCAGCCAUGCUACCGGCCAAGCGGAAGAACUCCGACGUUGUCCCAGCCGCAUCCACCCUUUCAGCUGGGCCAAGCAGCAAGAAUCAGAAGCAAGAUCACCGCAAAGGGAAGGCUCACAUGAAGAUGGCGGCCUCGCUUGCGCCUGGAGAAGCGGAGGAAGAGGCAGAGGUGGAAGGCGGCUACACGCCAUGGAAGUUCGAGAUGGUGACCGAAUCCGGGACACUGUGCGAGGUGGUGCAGCUGAACGGCUCCAUCCUCUGCGAGGUGUGUGACCAGCAGGCCCCGGACCGCGUCACCAUGAUGUGCCACCUCCAGGGGAGCAAGCACAUCUCCAAGCAAGCCAAGCAGAAGCAGUGCGAAGCCGUGGAACCACCGGCUGCCGUCGCUGCUGAUGGCGAUGGGCCAGGAUCAGAAAUGGUGCCCAUGGAGGCCAAUGGCGUGGGCCGGGUGGACGGUGGCUCCCUGCUGUGCAAGCUCUGCAACGUGAAGGUGGCGUCGGAGUGCGACAUGGAGUCUCACUUGUCCGGCAGGAAGCACACCAACAAGGCGAAGGUGGCUGCAGUUGGUGUCGGUGCAUGUGGCAACGAGUCAGGAUCAGAAACUGUGCCCAUGGAGGCCAAUGGCGUGCGCCGACUGGAGGGCGGCAUCCUGCUGUGCGAGCUCUGCGACGUGAAGGCCCCGUCGGAGUGCGUCAUGCGGACUCACCUGUCGGGCCGGAAGCACACCAACAAACUCAAGGCCGCCGCUGACGCCGGUGCAGGACAGGAGGUGAAGAAGGCCGCCAUGGUCGGCAGCUCAUCCAAGGAAGCCACCUCCAUCGUCGUCAACAGCAGCGAUGACUCAGUGAAGAAACCAGCAGCGGGAGAGAUUGAGGUGGUAGUAUCAUCGGCAACGCCUCAAGUGGACGUCGCCGCCCCGGUCUGCGCCCGUGUCUCCUUCGUGGCGCCCAUGGAAGUAGACGAAGGUGCUGCCAAAGCUGAAGAACAAGAGAAAGCUGAUGCCGAGGAAGAGGGAGCCGUGGAGAUCGACGGAGGCGCCGCCGUGACCGGCGAGGAGUAUUACAUCAAGGCGGAGGGCAAGCUGUUCGUCACGCUGCGCCAGGCGGACGACAGCCUCUCGUGCGGCCUGUGUGGCGUGCACGGCUGUGACAAGCGCGGCAUGAUCAAUCACAUCUACACCAGGGACCACUGGCGCAGAGCCCGUCUCGCCGAGGAGAAGGGGCGGGCGGUGACCAACAACGGCGCCGGCGCCAGCCCCGGCAUCCCGGUCACCGGCGGAGCGGCUCAGGUCGACAACUGACGGCAGCCGUGCGUGAAUUUGGGACGGCGAUGUGUGCUGAAGUUUGCUUUGAUAUACCUUUAUGUGUGUAUGGACCUGUUGAGACUCCAGUACAACUGUUGAACCCUCGUGUGGGUUAAGUCUCAAGUGUGAGUGAACUUGGAACCAUCUGAGCAUUUUCUGCCAGUACAACUUGUUUUAGACUUCAGUAGAAUUUGUUUCCAACUAUUUUCUGCCUGCAUCUUUUGGUAGUACUAUUUACUAACUUGUUUUCAAAUCAGCCAUACUAACGAUGCCUGGAGAAGAUCGCUCCCAGCCACACCAUUAUCAUGAUAACAUCAGUUUGAUCAAUAAUCUGGCUGCUGAUACAGCGCCCAUCAGGAGAAGGGAGAAGUUCAAAACAGCAGGGUUACAGAGGCGGGCAUGAUAAGGAUGUAAAUGAAUAAACAGAACUGCAGAGCCAUGCAUGAAAUAUUGCCAGCGAGAAGGGCCAGGGUUUUGUGCAACAUAAUACUCCCUCCGUUCGGAAUUACUUGUCAUAAAAUGGAUAAAAAUGAAUGUAUCUACAACUAAAAUACAUCUAGAUACAUUCAUUUCUUGGACGAGUAAUUCCGAACGGAGGGAGUACAAAUCAACACGCAGUGGCUAUUCAAGGAUGGCCUGUUGUCGAUAACAAGAUGGUACGGCCUAUUCAGCAUGUCUUUAUAAGGACUACUCUACAUGACUUCAGACGAAAGCUAGAAAAACUUUCUGCCCAAAAUAACCACAUCUUGUUUUUUACAUGGUUUAAAACCUUUCUGCUCUACUGGAUUUAUUGACGGUAAACAGAGCACAUUAUCUGAAGAAAGAAGUGCAAAAGUACAGUACAUGUACCCUCUGUUCAGCAGGCCAACAGACCGAAUGACAUGGACUAAAACGUGAUGUGAUACAUACCCCCAUCACAUGAGUUCAUCACAGUAGACUGAAUUGUCGAGGAAUGAAUUGUUUAUAGAAUGCUUGCUAGUCCUUCCUUCUUGGCAGCCGGCCUGUUCCCAGGGAAUGCAGUGCGGGAUACAUCAACGAGGGCCUUGAAGCUGUAUGGCUCAUGCAUCGACAGCUCCGAAAGUACCUUCCUGUUGAGUUGGACGUUCUCCUUCAUCAGUCCAUGCAUGAAGUUGCCAUAGUUCACCUGGGCAGUAAGUUCAGACAAUACAUCAGACACAUGUGUGUGUGUGCGUACAGUAGCAAAACUAGAAACCCGGUAGCUUAUACUUUGUUAUCGUAUUCUGCUUGGUUUCUUUGGGAAAAAAAUUUAACAUGAGAAUGCAACAAAUUUCAUUUCAUCGUCAAACCUUGAAUGUAAAUAGAUACUACAUACCCCAUGGAGUCGUGUACCAGCAUUGAUGCGCUCGAUCCAGAGAGACCGCAUGUCCCUUUUCUUGUUGCGCCGAUCCCUGUAUGAAUAUUGCAAUGCUUUUUCUACACGCUCCCUGGCGAUUCUUAUGCAGUUUUUAGCCCUUCCUCGGAAUCCCUUGGCUAACUUAAAAAUCUUCCCCUUGUUCAUCUUUGAGAUCUUGGCUCACACAGUAUUUACUCCCUAUAUUCACAACAUCAAAGUAAGAAAUUGGAGCAAAUUAUGAAUUACUGUAAUGAAAUAGAAGUUCAGAGUACACGCCAAUACUUCAGACAUUUAUUCCUCGAGAAGGGAAUGCAUAUGAAUAAAACAUACUUAAGGACAGUUAUUUUCAGCCUAGACUUCUUCAGGAACCAGUUUAAGCUUCUCUACCCACAGGAGCUGCGGCAUAGAGAAGUCUAUAGACUGUAAGUAUCAGUUAUUCUGCCCCUUAGUUUAUUUUAUUUUCUGAUGAAAAGUCCAUGGACUGUAAUUAUGUGAAUCUUAAAUUAUAUUGUGUAAUUUCUUGCUGUGUUUAUCAUAGAUAUUAUUAACAUUAUAAAAUAAAUAAUACAACAAAAAUAAGAUGUAAUUUGUACUUGACAACAAGUUAGAUAAAAAGAGGUUGUGAAGGCAUUACAAGGGUUUCCCCCAAGAAAAGCAGUCACGAUAAAAACUAAUCAUCAAGGUACGACACUAGCAGCAAUAGCAUCAUGAACUGUGCCGACAGUCUGUUUUGAAUGACUCCACCUAUUUUUGAAUCGCUUACACUCAUAAUUUCUCUUUGUGUGCUCACUAAACUUGCUUAUCAAAUAAACAUACCCAAGUAAGUUCAAACAUCUGGUGGGACGGUUAUAUACAUGUACUUCUUCGAUACGCACAUCAAGAAAAACUAUAUGGGUCAUAGGAUCCAAAGUUACUUUCGCCUUUCCCAUUCUCGUCUAUGACAAAAUGAAUGUUAAAACUGGAUAUGUGCUUGUUUAGUGUCUACCAGAGAUGAAAAAAAAUUGCGCUAAAAUAGGAUCGGGUACUGUGUAGUACUGUAUUCCAAUCGACAGUUUCCACUUGGAAUUGGCCGUCAGAUUAAAAAAUAACGUGAAAAUUAUAGCAAAUGCAAGCAGCAGUAGAUGGUGCAAAUGUGUGAUCUGCUUGCUAAUUCAAAUCCUGCCACCGACAAAGAAUCAUUUCCAGCCAAUCCGACACUAUCCGGCGGCAGGCAAGGGGCGUCAAGGGAUUCGGACGGUCGCGAGCUACGGCAAACAAGCACGCGGAUUCAGUGGCAGGAGCCGGGCCGGCCAUGCCGCGCGCGGUGGAAUCAUACACACCUAGCACGCGCGAGCGGGAGAUGUACAUGUGUGUGCAAGCACGUACGUACCGAGAAGCAGGGAAGAAGAGCCGGUGCGGAGUCGUUCGGGGCGGAGCAGCUCGGAGUAGAGGGAGGCGACGGAGACCGGCGUCGGCGGCGGGCGGCGGGCGGCGGAGUGAGAGCUCGGGCGCGUGAGAGGAGAAACCUAGAGCUUUGUUUUCUGUGGAUCGAGCGACACGAAUGUGGGCCGAAUCAUUUUCUUGGGUGCCAAUCCGGCCCACAAGACGUCGAUAGCACCCGCGCCGCUCACAAAGACCGGCCCGUUUAGCUGCCGCGCUUGUACAUCACUAGCCUCACACACGUUCAACGCAACAAUAGGCCAGUCCAUAAAAUUAGCCUCGGACGUUUGUAAAUAAAAAAAGGAAAGCAGACAACGCUGUGUGCAUGCAGAAAAUCAAAUAAAAUUUUGAAAUAUUUAUUAAGUUUUUAUAUAGUUAAUAAAACUAAAAUAAAUGGUUAUUUAUGGAAUCAAAACUGCUCUCACACUUUUACAAAAUGUUCAUGUAAUUUAAAAUAGGUUUCUCAUACAUUAAAAAGUAUUAUAAAAUUUGUAAAAACAAAUCAUAUAUUUUUAAAUAAAUCAUGAAAUUUAAAAGUUUUUCUUACAUUCUAAAAUCAUGUACUCCCUCCAAUCCGAAUUAAUUGAAGCAACCUCUGUACAAUGUUCAUUAAUAAAGAAAUUGUUCACAUGUUUCUUAUGAAAAUUUUCAUAUGAUAUCAAUAAGUGUUCACGCUUUCAAGUAAGUGCAAUAAAUAAAUUCCAAUAAUACUAAAAAGUGGUGAUACAUAUUUCCUAAAUGUUCAUGUAUUGUUUUACAAAAAUGUUCUUGUCAUUCUAAAGAGCGAGCACGGGUGGGCCGAAUCGACGAUUGAUCGGCCCAGAUCUGAUUUCUAGGGCCCAGCUUAUGUUAGCAACGUCCAUUUUGAAAGAAAAGAACAUGAGGAAAGGAUGGGGUUGUUUGAGACUAUUCCACUCCACCAAAAUCAGCUUUAUUUCCUUUCAAAAAAAACUGCUUCAUUUCCAGUUCAAAAAGAAAAUCAGCCUCACUUCACUAUAUUCACUUUGGAGUAGUUCCACUCGGCUCGAGUUUCGAGAAUGGAAAAUUUUGGUGGGAAAGUUUUUUUUUUUGAGGAAUCUCGCAAUCUUUAUUCAAUCCAAGGAAACAGUCAUAGGUACAGUUUCUGGGUCAUGGGGUGUGCCCAACACACCCCAACCAAACAUGACGCCCUAUACCUAGCUUACAAGCAUAUUUUGCGAGAUUAUGAGCCUCGAAAUUGAAAUUCCUACGCUCAUGAACAAAAGAGCAAGAACUAAAAUUAUUAAAAUGACUCCUAAUUUCAUGCACAAUGGAUGCAUCCGGACCUCCGGUGCCCCUGUUGAUGUCGUUAAUCACCUCCUGGGAGUCCGAGGCCACAUAGAUGUUUCGCACCCCAAGGUCGUCAGCGAGUGCUAGUGCCUCCCGACAAGCAUAAGUCUCCAAAAGAAGAGGAUCCCCGUGUGUAGUGAUAAAUCACCGCCGACGAUCCCAAGUAGACUCCGUCCUGGUCCCGGCAUAGAACUGCCACUGCUCCUCCUCUGCUUCGCCUUGCCACCGCCCCAUCUACAUUGAUCUUGACGCUGCCAGCCGGCGGUCGAAGCCACCUCAAUGGCCUUUCUUGGGCGGGUAAAAUACGGGCUGGCUGAUGCUCCUGAGUAGUAAUGAGGCCAAGAUCGCUAAUGUAGUUGUUGACAAAGUUGACAGUCUGUUGUGGGCUUUGGAAGAUUGCUUCAUAUAUAGCUUUCCGACGAGCAUACCAAAUCGACCAUAGAGUGAUGACCAUACGUGUAAAGUUUACAUGGUCCAUCGACUCGUGCAGCUGGAAAAGCCAGAUUCUCGCAUCAGCUUCCUCGUUCUCGGUCAUGUUGGUUACGAUGGUGUCUUGAGUUAACGCCCAAACACACCUCGACAUAGUGCAGGAAACAAGAGCAUGUCUCCAUGAGUCCUCGCAGCCACACAGCGGACAAGCGUCGCGGGUCGACAUGUUCCUCCGGUUCAAAAUGUCAGUAGUUGGCAGUGAAUGGUGUGCCAACCUCCAUAAGAAGAUUCUGAUCUUUGAGGGAACUUUUAUUUUCCACAGCAUGCUCCAUGAUGCCUCAUCUCUAUCGGAGCUAGAUGUACCGCCCCGACCUUCCAACCAUUCCUCCCUCUGCAUUUUCGUUCGUUGCAAGAAUUUAUACGCCGAGCUUACCGUGAAAUUUCCCUUCUUCUCCGGAAACCAAGCCCAGAAAUCCUCUAUAUUGCGUGUGCAAACUGGUAUCCUCAAAAUAGCUUCGGCGUCGAUCGGUAGAAAAACCUGUCUAAUGACUCCUUCAUUCCAAGAUGCAGCAGCCGGUAGCAUUAGCUCGGAAACGUACCUAGGAGUGUCGGCCACGAGCGAAGUAAUCGGUCGUGGAAUCAUCUUUUUUGGUAUCCAGUUGUCAACCCAAAUCUUCGUCGUUUGGCCGUUGCCAAUCCGGCGAAUGAUUCCUUGCUUAAGCAGAUCGCGGCCCUCUAUGAUUGCACGCCAAAUCUAUGAUGGUUUUGAGCCCACCUCUGCCUCUAAAAUUGUUCCCCCGGGGUAGUAAGCAGCUUUCAAAAUUCUUGCACUCAGGCUCGUUGGUUCUUGUAGUAAUCUCCAAGCUUGGCGUGCCAACAGGGCCAAGUUAAACAGUUCAAGAUCUCUAAAACCGAGGCCUCCCAAGUGCUUUGGUCGAGUCAUGAUAUCCCAAGAAACCCAUGCAGGCUUUCGUUCACCUUGUUUGCAGCCCCACCAAAAUUUCCGGAUAAUAGAUUUUAUGUGGUUGCAUAAACCUCGUGGCAACUUAAAACAAGACAUAGAAUAGACCGGGAUAGCUUGGGCUACCGAUUUGAUUAGCACAUCCUUUCCGCCAGCUGAAAGGCACUUACUCAUCCACCCUUUCACCUUGUCCCAAACUCUAUCACUCAAGUAUUUGAAGGUUCCCUUCUUUGAGUGACCUACAUCAGUUGGCAUGCCCAGGUAUCUGUCACUCAAUGAUUCAUUUGGUACCUAGAGGAAGCCUUUAACAGCGUUGCGAACUAUCUCUGGACAUCCCUUGCUGAAAAAGAUGGAAGAUUUGUCCUUAUUAAUUCUCUGCCCCGAGGCCAUACAAUAACUAUCCAACAAGUUUGACACUGCUUCUGCUCCAUCAACGCUCGCCCUAAAGAACAGCAGGCUGUCAUCCGCGAAUAAAAGAUGACUGACCGCCGGUGCAGACGGUGCCACCUUAAUGUCGCUAAGCUGGGAUGACUGAUUCUGGGAUUUUAAGAGGCAGGAAAGGCCCUCUGCUGCUAUUAGGAAAAUGUAUGGAGAGAUCGGGUCUCCCUAUCGUAUACCUCGUGAGGGUGUAAACACCUCAGACUUAACGCCAUUGAACAUGACUGAAAAGGUUACUGAACUCACCAUAGUCAUCACAAUAUCAACCCAUGCUGGUGCAAAACCCAACUUGUGCAUAAUAGCUCUCAAGUAUGUCCAAUCCACACGAUCAUAAGCCUUCAUCAUCUCGAGUUUCAAUGCAGCAUAGCUAUUAUUCUUUGAUCUACUCCUCUUCAUGAAGUGCAGACAUUCAUAAGCUGAAAUUAUAUUGUCUGUUAUUAAGCGCCCUGGUACAAACGCCGAUUGCUCCUCGGAUAUGAUAUCCGGUAAUACCAGCUUCAGACGGUUUGACAAAACUUUGGAGGCAAUCUUGUAAAAAACAUUACAUAAGCUUAUCGGUCAGAAUUGAGAAAGCAACGUGGGGUUUUGUACCUUAGGGAUGAGAACCAACAAUGUGUCAUUUAUGCAUGCCGGAUUCUCUUCUCCUUUUACAAUUGCUAGCACCGAUUUAGUAACCACCCCUCCACAAAUAUCCCAAUGCCGCUGAAAAAAGUGUGCUGGGAAGCCAUUCGGACGCGGGGAUUUUGUGGGGAACAUUUGAAACAAAGCUUCCUUUACCUCUUUAUCACUAUAAGGUGCAAGAAGGGUUUCAUUCAUAGCAUUAGUCACUUUCAUCGGUACGUGAUCAAGCACAUCGUCCACCCCCUGAACUCCCUCUGAGGCAUAUAGUGUUUUGUAAAACUCGAGGGCCAUCUGUUGCAUCUCUGUUAAGUCGUCGAUCAUCUGCCCAUCCGGUCGUUGUAGCGCCUUUAUUAGGUUCUUCCUCCGGCGCAUUGAGGCUCUCAUAUGGAAAAAGUGAGAGUUUCGGUCCCCUUCCGAGAGCCACUGGACAUGGGAUCUUUGCCUCCACAUGAGUUCCUCCCGUAAGUAUAGCUCGAUCAGACGAUCAUUAAUCUUGACUUCCGCAUGCGAUGUCCCAACACGCGAUGCAUCAUUACACAUUCUUUCCGGCUCCUGCUUUAAACCUCUGAUUUCCCCUCGUACACUACCAAAUGUGGUACGGGACCAAUCACCCAAGUUGUUUGCAAGAGCCUCUAGUUUAGCCUGUACCUCAUGCACAUGCAAGUUGUGGCCGUUGGGCUCCCAGGCCGUUUUAAUGGUCGUCUUGAGCUCAGGGUGCCUGUCCCACAUGACUUCAUACCGAAAUUGAUUUCUCUUUUUCCUACUUCUCGGUGGAUAGAGCUGGACCAGUAUCGGCGAGUGAUCCGAUGUUGCGGCCGUCAAGUGCUCCACCGAUGCCGACGGAAAGAGGCCGCACCAAUCAACUGAGCCCAGUGCCCUAUCCAGCCGUACUCGGGUGUAGGAACCACCCGCGACUCUUUUUUUGAAAGUCCAUUUAGUUCCUUUGAAACCAAGGUCGACUAGACCGCACACAUCUACUGCGUCCCUAAAACCCUGAAUUUGAGACUAGCUUCUGGAACCAAUGCCGUCAUGCUCAUCAUGUUUCAGGGCUUCGUUAAAAUCUCCCACACACACCCAUGGUGGGAAAGGUGACUUGGCAAAAGAUGAUUGCUCCUUCCUUAUCAAUCCAGCGACUAUGUUCGAGCUGUGGCGGUUGGAGCCGCUGGCACGAGCGAGAGAUGUGGAUGUGGGAGAUGGAUUGGCUGCUCUGCGUCAUUGAUUCCAUCAUCGAGCUCACCCCGUCAGUCUAGUAGAUCCUCAAUGGCAGCGCCUAGCUCAUCUAGAUGACCACACAAUGAUAAAUGAGGGGACCAAGUUCUGCUACGUGGACAAGGGGGUCAUGGUCGAGGAUGAGGUGGGGGGGGGGGGUUGUGACCGUCGUCGUCCUGCGGGCGACCGUCGUUGGUGUGGCAAGAGGACAAGUGGUGGUUGUGGUGCCCGCGGGUGCCGCCCAAGCGGCUGCUUGAGGAGUCCAGGAGGAAGCUGCACCAGAGCAGGGACUGCGCGAACCAGGCCCCAUUGUGGUAUGCGCCAAUAAGACCACCAAAGGCAUUUGUGGCACUAGUGGUACACAGAAGUCAUGGGUGAUAAUUGGUCCGCUGCUUCGGGCAAAACCGAUUCCCUGGGUGUGACGAGCGGUGUUUUUUUUUUGAAAAGGGGGGACUCCCCGGCCUCUGCAUCAGAACGAUGCAUACGGCCACCUUAAUAAAUAAGCAAAUAGGUUCAACAAGGUCUUACAGUCUGAAACAAAGUCACGGCAAGCUCACAAAGAGCCACAACGCUAAAGACAAAAAACCAAGAGGCCACAACCGGCUAGCAUAACAAAGAUAGGAAAACUAAUCGCAUAUCCUAUUACAUGAUCGCCAUCCAAACCGAUUGAAGAUAUCCCAUGCUACCAACUCCCACCAGAUAGAUCCAGUAACCAAACGCUCCCUGGCCUCCGUCGGAGUGAGUAACGAUCACAUACGGAUCAGCGCAGUGGCUCGGAAUAUAACCUGCAAAAAAUGAAAAUUUGUUGUUCUGUUAAAAGCCAAAUCAUUUCUGCAGUUCCAAUUUGCCCAUAACAAAGCACAUACUCCUACGCGAAUGUGUCUAGCUGUUUCGGACUCUAUCCCAACAAGCCACGUUCCAAAUAACGUACUGACAGAAUUCCAAGGAGUAAUGUUAAAGGCAAUGUGCACCCUCUGCCACAAAACUUUGGCCAACGGGCAAUCAAAGAAAAGGUGUUUGAUAGUUUCAUCCCGAUCACAAAAACUUUGGCCAAUAUGCAACUGAAGUUUUCAUGUGUUUCAAAAUGUGUUAUGGCAUUGCUAGUACAGGUUGCUACUUUGCAUCGUCCACCGUUUCUAUUGUUGAAUCAUACGUGCUUUUUCAUCAUGCGGUUUCCAGACUUUUCUCGUUUCCUUUUUUUUCUUUGUAGAUUGGAACACCUUGCAUUCCAGAAAUUACGGUGGACCAGCCAAAUCAGCGGCCACAUCGCGGGUUACAUCGCAUGAGAAACGUGGCAACCAGACAUGUUGAUGUUGGCCAUCGAGGUAGUAGCUCCGGCAAUCAGAGGCAGCCAGCACAUGCAUGCGCUGGGGCAUUACAUGAUCUGGGACGUACAGUACACUACACUUUGGUCAAUGAAACCUAAUUGCAACUGGAAUUUCGCUUCUCUGAACAGCACACCUAGGAUCUGCCGUUGUGGAGGCAAUAGCCUGCUUCAGGGUAGGCAAUCCGUCUCAAAAAUGCACGACCCAUACCCAAUUGCUCCGCUAGCUCUAUGGCCUUGAGCAGUGUGAGGACGUCGGCUUGCAGGGCAUCAUGCAGGUUUUGCAGCGAUCCAGCCGCUGCCAUGAGAAUCACUCCAUCAGGUCCUCUGGCGAUGACGCCCCAGCCUCCCGGACUGGUAGCUGCAUGGAAGAAAGAAGCAUCAAGGUUUAUUUUGACCACAUCCAUGCAUGGGCGGUGGCGACCAGCGGCUCACGGAUUCCCGUUUUUCUCUUGUCUUUGGGCCUAAACAUUUUUAUGGUUUGCUUUAUUCCUCUUUCUCCACCUGGACCAAAGAAGAGAGAUCACCCGUAACACAGAUUCCUUAGCAUGAUUCUUGGUGGGUGAAACUCUAUAGGCAGAGCGACUUUUCUCGUUUCCUCUCUACUAUAUAUAGCUCUUUGUUUUGUGCAGACCACAGUAGCAUAGCAUGGUGUGCAUUUUCCAAAUCAUCCCCGCAUAUACUGCAUACUCGAUCAAGUUCAUAUCUUCUUUUGUUGGCAAAGAAUCAGUGGCACUUCUCCCAGCGUGAUUAUACAAAACAUCGAACCGUCAUUCGGAACUGCACCAAAACACCUAAACCAUGAUAGCUAAGCUCAAUGAAGGGACCAUACAGAUUGUCUCAAUUUGGAAGCAAGUCAGGGCCACUGAGUGAAGGGAUCAAUAGAAGAUAAGUUUUUUUUUUUUGGUUUCAGGGUAUCAAAGAACUUAUAUUUAAGAACGGAGGGAGUAUUUUUGAAAGGAGAAAUAACUAUCAACGCCUCGAGGAGAAACGUAUACACAGGCGAUUCUCAUUCCAGCUAAAUUCUCAACUUCUGAUGAAGCCAUGACUCUACACAGUUUCCGACAAACAACAAAUUCCCGCACAAAAAAUACUGGAAAAAGGGAAUAAGAAAUGUAUAUACAGGCGAUGCUCUCACAUAUCAUGAAUCAGGACAGGUACUCAAAAGGUUGGGGCGGCUGGGGCUCGUCGUCGUCGACGGCCAUGGCAGAGGCACCGGGCACCGGCUGCCCUGUCGCGGGGGCGUCGGUGAGCACGACGAGCUCCUCGGCCUCGCUGGGCUGCAUGUCUCGUAGGAGGAUGAACCCGCCGCAGGGGGCGGGCCUCACGGGGACGUAUCGGCUGCCCUCGAUGAACUUGAUGAACUUCUCCUGCAGGGGGACGACGCGGGCUGGGUUCGCCAGGAUCUGGAAGGCCGGUUCUGGCUCUGGAGCCUUCUUCUCUGCAGUGCUGUCCACCUGGGAACAAAGAUUUCAGAGAGACGGGUCAAUCCAAAUGAGGCAGACACUGGGGUGGGUUCAUUACUGAGCAGCACAAGGCUGCAUAUUAACAGCUAAGGGCCAAGGGCGUAGCUAUGUUGUACUUGCUGUGAUGUCUAGUCCGUAAGAGGAUGCUGAUACAGUAACCAAGAUGGUUGUGAUGAAGUAAAACGACUAGAAUGUGGUUUAAUUAAUUAUAGGCUGAACCUUUCGAAGUUUGUAAAAUUCUUGGGUGAUGGGAAGAGGGUGAAGCGAAGCACAGAUUAAAUGAAGUUUUAUUCUUACCUGCAUUGCAUCAGCUGCCUUGCCAGAAGUAGAACCGGAAGCAUCUUCCGUUGACUUCUCCUGGUUAGCAGCUUUGCUUUCUGCUUCUGCUGCUGUCUUCUCCUGGUUAGCAGCAGCUUUGCUUUCCGCAUCCUUCUUCGCCCUAGAUUUUGCCUUGGCAUAGGUUGACAAAAUGGCUGUGGGCAGCUCGACAGCCGAAGUUGUAGCCUGCUGGGUCGUCGGUUUCGGAUACUCAAAGAGGGACGGCUUAGCAUGUGACAUAAAUUCAAACUUCGGCACUUCCAGAUUCGAGUUGAGACCCAUGAUGGCCGUUGGCGAGAAGGCCAGGCUGAUGAAGUAUAGGAGAGGGUACCAGUACCAGAACUGGGUGAAAACAGCGAGGCCAAUCACAGCAGUGAGCUUGUCAUGCUUGUUCCUCGAGCGAAGUUUGAUUGUGACAUUCCUGCCACCGGCAUCUAGAAUGCCAGAAGCAAGUAUGGCGCCCAUUUUGCUCAUGGUGUCCUCGUGCUUGUCAAGAAUGAUCUUUUCCAACUGACGCCUAAAUGUUCCAACACGAGAAUCAAAGGACUCAUUAGUCUGGAUCAUGACCAUUGCCAUAGCAAUUAGAGCCCCCUGGCGUACGAAGUCAACAACGUCUGAUGUGAGAGGCUCCAACAAGGAAAUGGCAUCACUUAACCCUGUGCCUGCACAGGAUAUCCCAACAGCUAGGGCUGCACCAUAACGAACAUGUGGGUUGUACGAUUCAGAGAGCAGGGACACAAUUCUUGGAGUCUGCAUUAUCAGAACAGAAGAUGUAAGUUGUGGAUCAAAGCUAUUGAUGAUUCUUUAUUUUAGCAUUUUUUUCUAUUAGAUGCCAAAGAGGUGCAGCAGCAUAAAUGCAUAAUGAACACCAGGUCCAUGUUGUUCCUUGGAAUAAAAUUGAAUAGAGGGCAGACCUGCUCAGGUUCGUUGUAUAGAACAAAUCCAAGACCCAUAACUGCAGUCCUACGAACAUCAUCACUGACGUCCGAUACAGCGAAGUGCAGCAGCUGAUGGAUAGCUUUGUUGUUUGCAGUUCCUCUGUACGCUAGAGCCAAUGCAUACAUACCACCAUAACGUAGUAUGGGAUCUUGAUCUCUAGUCAUUUGUUCGAUCAAGGUGUCAGCUUCCUCCUCCCUGCCAUACAUUGUCAAUGCGAUGCCAAGUGCCAAACCCCUGCGGAGCGAGAGAGAAAGAUGUCAGAAACAAGAGCUAGAUGCAUCUUCAGAAAUACCGCAACAAUUAUUGAACAGCACUGACCUGAUAAUCUUUUCAUGCUGUGUAUCAUGUGCAUAAGCAAGCAUCUCACCGGCCUUCUCACUGGCUGUGCCAACCAUGAGCAAACCCAUGCCGAUACCAGCUGCUUCACCAGCUACUGCACUGUCUGUGUAAAGGACAUUCUUUAUGUCCUCAAACACUUCUUCAUCUGCUGUCCCGAGAGAUGCAAGCCCAAGUCCCAAACAGGCACCAUGCUGGAUGACCUGUAUAAUAAUACAGUUUUGAUUAAGAAAAUUCACAAUAUAAUUAGCAUUACGCAAAAAGGACAAGGAACAAAAUGUCACCUCUGCACUGGUGUUGCGAAGGCUUUCACGGAGGAAUUGUUUGAUUCCUUCGCCAUGGUUGGCAUGAAUCAAACCUAAAGCAUAGAGGGCACCACCUUCUGAAUAUGGACUGCCACCACCAACUGCACCAUUUUGAGGUAGGUACGGGGCCAUCAAAGCCCGACCUUGCUGAAGGUGGCCUCUAUGAAUGACACCCAGUCCAGCUGUCGCACUAAAUUUAGCCCACUUGGUUGCCUUGCUUAACCAUUCCUAAAAGACAAUACCAAAAUGAGACAUUACAGGGGCAAAAAAAAAACUCUGCAUGACAACAAAACAACCAGAUUUUUUUUUACCAGAUUUUCUCUUAAAAAGGUAUCUACAGUUGUUCCUGCAUGCAUGAUCGCAUUGGAACAAACAGUUGCACUAUGGCAAACAUUGCCACUCGUUUCCACAGCCUGCUUUAUUGUCUUCAGAAUUAGAAGAUCAGACCUACCAAACAAACAAACCCAUCAAGGUGAUGUCAGAUAUAGAAGUUGCAAGAGACCAGGGUUCAACGUUUAGGACAUAAUAAGUUUACCUGUUGUGGCUAUACAAAAAUUGCAGCGUAAGCUGAAUAGACUUCUCCCCUGACAGUAUCCCUUUAAGUUUUGCAAGCCUAUCAGCAUGCGCUGCCUCAUUUGGAUCCACUGGGUGAGCAUUUCUGUUUGAAGUAGUUGUGCCAUCUCCCAUCUGAACAUCACCCGCUGGUUCUGUGCUAGUUGUACGCGCGUUAACAGUCUGAUCAACCGGUAAAGCUGACUGGCCAGGAGUCUGUGAGUCCAGGCGAUUCCCCACAUUCAGAAGGAAGGCCUGAUUUUCAUUUUCCACUAGAUCAAAAGCAAUUUGGUAUGCAAUGAGAGCAUCAUCCUGCAUAAUGAACACAAUAUCUCAAGUAAGCAACAGAGACCACAAUGUAAGUAGUGGUGGGCAGAGUAAAGAACAAACAUAUACCUGGCUUCCAGAAAGUAGUGUGUCCAAUAUAUUCGCAACAGUUUCAUGCUCGCCCAGAACCAUAAGGCACUGGCAGAUGCUCAGAUAAUCUGGAUGCGGCAAAGUCUGGUAUAUUUUAACAAGACAGCGAAGAACCUGGCAAUAAAAUGAAUUAUUAGAUCAACACAUAAAGAAUGUUAAUUUUUGAUUAUUGUAAACUAAACUACUUGCUUUUUAACUUAAUAAACCAAUCAUACUGCCAAAUAAAUUUUAACAUAAAAAACUUAGGAUACCUCAGAACGAUAUUCACGGUGACUAACAUAUUGAUGAGAAAAGUUGAUGCAAUAUGAAAGAGCCCCGUGAAUAUUAGCACACUGAACAAUUGCUUCCUCCAGCUUAUCCAGUCUCCUGCAUUCAACAGCCAUACCCAUGGCCUGUUGGUAUUUCCCAUCAAGAAUACACCUGCAGCAAAGAGUAACAUUAGCUAAAUACUCCAUCUGAUAAAUAAGAGUAUAUGUGCAAACGGUAGGAUAUAUUAUCAUACCUCUCCAACAUCCUCUCCACUAUGGCCUCUAGUCUAGGAUCCACAUUCUCUUCUUCCUCCAUAGCUUUAGAAGCUCUUGUCUUGAAACUCGCAUAUUCAUCUAAUGCUUUGGCUGAAAGAAAAGAAGCACCAAUUCAACACAAUGAGCAAAAGAAAUUCAUGUGAAAUAACAUCCAGAAUGAUUGAGAAAUAAAGACAAGUCGUCACCUAAAAGAGCCAGAGCAUAAUCAGAAUCCUCAGAAACAUCAAACAGAGGUCCAGCACCAAGUGCAUACGACAGUGCAUCGUUUAACUCGCCCAGGUAGUAGAACACCUACAUGAUAAUGAUACGCAGCAGUCAUCAAUAUAAGCAAUGCAAAAUACGCCGCUUCUAGAAAAGGUAUAAAAUAACUUGAGAUCCUACCUUAGAAACAACUAGUGCAGCAAGCUGUCUCUGGUCAAAUUCGUCGUCUUCAUACAUGCUCUCGCUGCAGGCAAAAGGAUAUGAUGGAAACAAAUUAUUGAUUUGCUUCCUUGGAAAUUCAGACAAGGAAUUUAUAAUCUGAGCUUGGGUAACAAACAAUAGAUUGACUUCCCAAAACAUGUGUCAUCCUAAACUAUUGCAACUUUGCAAGUAACAGUUGAAUGGUCAGUCUGUCAAAGAUGUUUCUUAGCACAGGGCAGGCAUUACAACUGAACUGAUUAUAAGCAACCGAGCGAAUCGAACUCGUAAAACAACUUGCACCAAACUGAAAGUUGAAAGCUUUCUGAAUUGUCUCCCCUCCUCAGUUGACACCUCACUCCUACAACUGUCAGUUAUAUCUAUCAAAGUGCAAAGAGUUGAAAUUUUUACGACUGCUACCAAAUACAGUAGCAUCGUUUUGUGAAUUCGCUUCGAACUCUCACGGAGGGCACAUCCGCGCACUCGGACCGGACGAGGCCAACCAAACGAAUCGCGGGACGGAAGGGAAAUCCUCGUCAACCGGCCGGCAUCUAGGGCGGCGGCAACUAGGUAUCGCGGGGAGGAUACGGGAGGGGGGGAGGGGUCUCACAUGGCGGGGAUGCUGGUGGAGAUCUCCGGGUAGAAGAGGUGGACGACGGAGUUGAGGCUGGCGAGCGCGUGCAGCUUGAGCUCCUCCGCCGGCUCGUGGAGCAUGGCGAGGAUCCCGCCCGCCGAGCUCACCGUCGCUGUCGCCGCCAUGGCCGCGUCGGCGAAGAGGUUGGUGUGCGCGAUGGUCUGUGGUUCGGUUCGGUGCGGGGCGUGUCGUGAGUUGGAGGAUGAGCACGCGAGACCUGGUACGCCGUCGUUGGGUUGCGGGCGAAUAUAAGGGCAGGACGGCGCGAUGGGUCGGUCGACUCGACUAGGGAGUCGGGCGACCAGUCCGACGCCAAAUCCUUCUGCGCUCCGUAACGAAACGGGCCGGCCCACUUAGCAGUGGUAUAGGAGUGGUCUGGCCGGUUUCUUUUGUGUGUUUUCUGUCCGUUUUCUGCUGGCGUUUGUUCAUUUUUUAACUUUUCUGUUUUCUAUUUAUUUUUCUUCAUCUUAAUUUUCGUGAAUUUUUAUUUUUAAAAUUCGUGAUUUUUUAUAUUCACAAAUUUUGACCAAAUUAGUGAACCUUUUCCAAAUUAUCUAAUCUUUUACCAAAUUUUACAAUUUUUCUGUAAUUCGUGACUUUUUCAAAUUUUGUUUUUUUAAGUAAAAAAUUCCAAAUUCAUGAACUCUUAUCCAAAUUCAUUAAAUGUUUUAAAUUCUUGCUAUUUUUCAAAUUCAUGAACUUUUUCAAUUUUGUGAAGUUUUUUCAAAACCCGUGAACAAUUUUUUUGAAUUAUAUGCUUUUUGAAAUCACAUGAACUUUCUCGAAAAGGAAAAUGGUUAACAGUCUAAGUCAAAGGUCAACUUAUCGGAAAGUGAACCAAUCAAACCAUCAACCCUCUCAGCCACUCGCUCACCCGUGCCAUGUGGUGAGCACCACUUUGUUGGGACGGCCCACAAGCCCUCUCACGUGAGCAUCAUUUGCAUAACAAGGGCAGCAGGUUCUGAGGAGGAGGUCUAUAGUCCUACUAUGUUUGUUGACUUCAUUCGCGAUCAGGCGGAAGAGUCAGUUUUCGUCCGCACCUGGCUGAAGAUGACGUUUUCGUCCAAGCAUGGGCCAAAGAUGGACUCUUUGUUGCGGCUCUGGGCGAAAAUCAUCUCUUUAGUCAAUGUUAGACCGAAGAGGGCUUCUAGGUCCACCUCUUCACGUAAACUGCCAACAAAGUUGCAUGUCGUUCUUAGGGCGGACGAAAAGUUGCUCUAGAGAAACAAUUCGAGGUUUCACGGAAAAUCAAGGGGACAAUGUCCUAGUGCCGACAUUGGGGACGAGUUUUGAUACUUUGGGAGAAGCCUACGACUUUUACAACCUGUACUCUUGGGAGAAGGGAUUCGGCAUUAGGUAUGGAAAGAUUUGACUAGGCCUCCUUUGGCUUGGAGGAAUUUUAGAGGACAGGAUUCUUAUAGUUUAUUUUUUUUCUUUAGAGCCCUUUGGUUCAUAGGAAUGGAUUCCUAUUCCUACAUAGGAUUGCUUCCUAUCCUCCACAUUUCAUAGGAAAAUAAAAAUGAGCCUAGACUCAAUGGAAAAAUUCCUUUGGUGUCAACCAAAUGGCAUCUCGUUUUCUAUUCCUACCCAUAGGAUUUGAGAUACAUGUCAUCUCAUUUCCUACAAAAUUCUUAUCCCUAAGAUAAUCAUAUCCUAUGAACCAAAAGAGACCUAAAUGUUGAGAAGACGAAGCGCAUGCAAGAAGUUGUUUGUGGGUGUGCGGUGAGUACAUCUUACUAUAAUGUAUGAUGUGUUUGCACAAAAAACUGGACAGAAAAAUGAAAUGUAAAUAUUUCGCUAACGUUUGAAUGUGGUGUUCUUGUUCAUGGUAAGGCGGGGUGGAGAACACAAGGUCUUGCCGUUGUGAGUGCCCUACACUGAUAAGAUUGUUGAGAUCAAAGGACAAUGGCUGGUACAUAGCAGAGCACCAUGAGCAGCACACUCGUUUGUUGUCCCCGACGUAUGGGCAGACAAUACACUGGCCGUCUGCCCAUCACACAAGCAUAUAAAUGUCUACAACCGGGAUUUGGUGAAGAAGCUUCGGCAGCAAUGUCAACCUUGCAAAGGUGUACAACAUUAUUGGUAGCUUCUUUGGAUCCAUGGAAAAGGUCCUUUCACAAAGAGGGCGUUGAAGAAUCUGUGUGGUAAGAUAAACCAUGAGCAGGCAGAGGAUGAUGUAAGGAAAACAAUGGAAGUUUUUGCCGAGCUUUUUGCGAGAGAUCCACACUUGCACCCUUCACCAUGUGCAAGCUGACAAGGGCAGUAGGGUCACAUCGUUGAUGUGGGCAAAUAGAAGUAGUAGAAAGCAGUACACCUUCUUCGACAAUGUUGUUAUGUUUGACAUGACUUACAACACAAACCUCUAUAAUACGCCCUUUGGGCUUUUCGUCAGAGUUAACAACCAUUUUCAAAGCAUAAUACUCGCGGGAGUGCUAGUCCGUGACAAGAUGGUGGAGACAUUUGAGUGGGCUAUCUCUGAGAUCGUUAGGAUGAUGGGAGGCAAUGCGCCAAAACAAUUUUGACAGGUACAAGUUUAUGCACAUGAUAGUGCUAAUUGCAAUCGGAUGAGGUUAGCACGCACACACACACACAGAGAGAGAGAGAGAGAGGGAGAGAGAGAGAGAGAGAGAGAUAGAUAGAUAGAUAGAUAGAUAGAGAGAUGGCAGUCGUUUCGAGGAAGAAGAAAGCCUCGAUGUUAUCCCGAAACUCUUCGUUUGGGAGUGGAACGAAGAAUUCAUCUUUGUUUUUUCACGGGUAGAAUUCAUCUUUGGUGCUGCCGCGGACGAAGACCGUCUCUUUGGCCCAACAGGCCAUGAGGAUACCUCUUCGGUCGAGGAAAGAGUCUUUUCGGUCCACGAGGGAACGAAGAGUGAUCUUCAGUCAUGGCAUGACCCAUGAGGUUUAAUAUAAAAAAGUCCAAAGACAAAUUUGCUAUGGAAACAUCAUACCCUAGAGUUUUUAUGGGAGGAUGAGCCCCAGACUUCAUGGUUGAAUGCCUUUCAAACGAUGUAACUAUAUUACCUAUGCAAUAAGGUAUCCAUGAUGGCAUUCCCCCAAAAAAGAUAUAAUAAAUUAUACACUCUCGAAACUUCCACGUUCCAUCAAGAUAUUUAUCAGACCAUAUGUAUUUCUAACAAUAUAUGCAUGAAUAAUAAGACAAGCGCGAACAUAUACGUAUACCUAUGAUACAUCAAAGUGUCAUAAAAUUGGUCAAUGGAGGGCGUAAUUUCGUUUAGUUUGUAUCUUUAUGUGGUCUAGGUGGAGCUCCCAUAUUGCCUAAGUUUUGUACGAGGAAAUAUCUCGAGGGUAAAAAUUAACAUGACUUUCCUUUUAGAAUAUUAUUUAAGCCUAGUGUACAAUAACAUCAUAGUUGAAUAUUCAAUUGUUGUAUUUGAAUAUUUAAAUGUACAAUUAUAUUUUUAAUUUGGUUAAAGAUAAUAGAAAUAUACCAUUUAAGACCAUGCUUAGGUGCAUUUAGUUAUAAAGUAGUAAAAAAUGUUCACCUCGGUGUGGGUGCAUGGCGGUUGCGGAGAUGAUGUACGCCGGCGGCUAAAGGUGCGGCCGGAUAUAAAGGAUAACGCAGGCUUGCGGACGAUGAGCACGUGACCAGACGAGGUACGCCAGCGUUGUGGGCGAAUAUAAAAGGGGGGACGACGCGAUGGGUCGGUCGACUAGGAUAGGGAGUCGACCAGUCCGACGCCAAAUCCUAUUCUGCGCUCCAUAACGAAACGGGCCGGCCCACUUAGCACUGGUAGUGCGGUUUUCCUAUUAUGGUGCCGGUUUCUUUUGUUUGUUUUCUGUCCGUUUUCUGCUGGCAUUUGUUCAUUUUUUUAACUUUUCCGUUUUCUAUUUAUUUCCUUUUUAUUUUUCUUCAUUUUAAUUUUAGUGAACUUUUCUUUUUAAAGUUUGUGAUUUUUUUAGAUUCACAAAUUUUGACCAAAUUCGUCAACUUUUUCCAAAUUAUCUAAUCUUUUACCCAAUUUUGCAUUUUUUUCUGAAAUUCGUGGCUUUUUCAAAUCCAUGAAUUUUUUCAAAUUUUGUUUUGAAGUAAAAAAAACUAAAUUCUUGAACUUUUUUUAAAUUCAUGAACUCUUAUCCAAAUUCAUUAAAUGUUUUAAAUUUUUGCAUAUUUUUCAAAUUCAUGAACUUUUUCAAUUUUGUGAAGUUUUCUCGAAACCCGUGAACAUUUUUUGAGUUCUAUACUUUUUGAAAUCACAUGAACUUUCUCGAAAAAGAAAAUGGUCAACAAUCUAAGUCAAAGGUCAACUUAUCAAAAAGUGAACCAGUCAAACCAUCAACCCGCUCAGCCACUCGCUCACCCGUGCCAUGUGGUGAGCAUCAGUUUGUUGGGCCGGCCCACAAGCCCUCUCACGCGAGCAUCGUUUGCUUAAACAGGGCAGCAUGUGCUGAGGAGGAGGUCUAUAGUCCUACUGCGUUUGUUGACUUCAUUCGCGAUCAGGCGGAAGAGUCGAUUUUUGUCUGCACGUGGCUAAAGAUGACGUUUUCGUCCAAGCAUGGCCAAAGAUGGGCUCUUUGUUGUGGCUCCGGGUGAAAAUCAUCUCUUCAGUCAAUGUUAGACCAAAGAGGGCUUCUAGAUCCACCUCUUCACGUAAACUGCCAACAAAGUUGCAUAUCGUUUUUAGGGUGGACGAAAAGUUGCUCUUUGUUUUGUUGUGGAUGAAUUUUUUUUUUCUGAUUGCCCUCAUCAUUCCCUCUCACGCCCUUUUCCUUCCCGCCCUUUCCCUUCCCGACAUCCCUCCCCCGCCCUUUUCCUUCCCGCCAUCACCUCUCUUGUGCUUUUUCUUUCCGACAUCUCACUCCUCCUCCUUUGUUCCUUUCCACUCGUUCUCUUGCCUCGCUCAUUCUAUUAAACUCCUCCCCUACUUGUUGAUUAUGAAUGUCCCAAACUUGUCCUCCAUCGUCCUCUGAUUAGCCUUCCCUCACCUUCAUCUUCUUCAAAAUUACCAGAAUCUAUAUCACCCGCUAAUCUAUCAUCAUCCUUCUCUUCCAUCACCCUGUGCAUUUCCUUCCCUUUCACAUUCCCAUUAGACAAACCACUACCACCAAUUACUACUGAUUGACUGCUCAACCCUACUUCAUGACCAAUGAAAAUGUGUAACACAUAAUUUGACUCUACAUCGGGAUGGCUAACAUCCACUGGUUGUGACCCAGGUGGAUCAAUGUCAUUAUAAUUAGACGACUGGCUACCUUGGUCGGGUUCAUAGCAUAUACCCCAUCGCCAUCCAACAAACUCUCCUACUUCCAUCAAGAUAUUUAUCAGACCAUAUGUAUUUCUAACAAUAUAUGCAUGAAUAAUAAGACAAGCACGAACAUAUACAUAUACCUAUGAUACAUCAAAGUGUCAUAAAAUUGGUCAAUGGAGGGCGUAAUUUUGUUUAGUUUGCAUCUUUAUGUGGUCUAGGUGGAGCUCCCAUAUUGCCUAAGUUCUGUACGAGGAAAUAUCUCGAGAGUAAAAAUUAACAUGACUUUCCUUUUAAGAUAUCAUUUAAGCCUAGUGUACAAUAACAUCAUAGUUGAAUAUUCAAUUGUUGUAUUUGAAUAUUUAAAUGUAUAAUUAUAUUUUUAAUUUGGAUAAAGAUAAUAGAAAUAUACUAUACCAUUUAAGACCAUGCUUAGGUGCAUUUAUUUAGUUAUAAAGUAGUAAAAAAUGUUCAGCUCGGUGCGGGGGUGUGGCGUCGCGAGUUCGGUUGCGGACGAUGAGCACGGUUGCGGAGGAUGUACACCGAUAUCGGAAGGUGCGGGCGAAUAUAAAGGACGGCGUGAUGGUCGACUAGGAUAGAGAGUCAGACUAGUCCGACGCCAAAUCGCGCUCGGGGCGCAGACACCCCCGACCGAAACGGGCCAACCCACUUCGUACUGUACCGGUAUGCGGUUUCUAGUUUUUUUUUGUGGCCGGUUCUUUUGUGUUUUUUUUCUGUCUCUUUUUUGCUGGUUUUUGUUAUUUUUUUUCUUUCAAGUUUUGUCUUCAUUUUUCCUUCAUUAUUCAUUUUUAUUUUCAUGAAAAUUUCUUUUACAUAUUCAUGAUUUAUUUUAAAUUUGCAAAUUUUGUCCAAAUUUGUGAAAAAACAAAUAUCUUUUUCCGAAUUUCAAUGUUUUCAAAUUCAUGAAUAUUUUCCCAAAUUCACAAAAAAAAAUCAAAUUCAUGAUUUUUUCCAAAUUAACAGUUUUCCCUAAAUUUCCUGAACUUUUCAAAUGUGUUAACUUUUUAAAAACCCAUGAAUGUUUUUUCCGAAUGCUGCAAUUUUUAAGAUCACAUGAACUUUUCAAAAAAAGUCAAUGGUCAAGGGUCUAAGUCAAUGGCCAAUCUGCCAAAAGGUGGACCAAUCAAACCAUCAACCCGCUUAGCCACUCGCUCACCCGUGCGUGUGGUGACCACAGGUUUGUUUGGCCAGCCCACAACGCUCUCUUGUGUGAGCACCGUUUGCUUAAUUGGUGCACAAGCGCUACGAAGGAGGUCUCUAGUUUGAAUGUGUUUGUCAACUUCAUUCGCGGACAGGCCGAAGAGCCAGUUUUUGUCCGCACCUUGGUCAAAGAGGACAUUUUCGUCCACAUAUGGGCCAAAGACGGGCUCUUCUUUGCGGCUCCGGACGAAAAUCAUCUCUUCAGUCAUUGUUAGAUUGAAGAGGGCUUCUAGGCCCAUCUCUUCGCGUAAACUUCCUAACGAAGUUGCAUGCCAUUCUUAGGGCGAACAAGAGUUGCUCUUCCUUUCUAUUGAGGAAGAAGUCUUUUUUUAUUGCCCUUCAUCAUUCCCUCUCACGUCCUUUUCCUUCCCACCAUCCAUCUCCCGCUCUUUCCCUUCUCGUCAUCCCUCUUCUACCCAUUCCCUUCCAGCCGUCAUCUCUCACACGCCUUUUCUUCUCUACAUCUCACUCAUCCUCCCAUGUUCCUUCCCACCCUCUUGCCUCGCUCAUUCUAUUAACCCCCCCCCCCACUUGCUGUCUCUGAACGUCCCAAACUUAUCAUCCAUUGUCCUCUGCUUAGCCUUCACAUAACGAAUUUCAUAGUUAUAUGUUGCUUUCACCGCAUUUUGGUGUGCUUCGCUUCCAUGUCUUUCUUCUCCACUAUCUCAUUUAUACAUGAGUUUUUUAUGAGAGUUGAAUUCAGGUUGGGAUGAUCAACUAGAAUGUUUUUCCUCACAUAAUUAUAUGGAACAAUAUUAGUGACAACCCAGUGCAUGUUUCACUUGGGCAUGUGGUCGUGCACCUUGUCGAGAACCAUUUUAAGCACAUUUCAAAGUUAUAAGUUUGUUUGACUUGAUAUGUGUGUGUGAAAACCCUAUGCACCGACAUAGCCCGCUCCAUUAUGUCACUUCAUUCUUCAGUUGUUUCUUUAUGGCAUAAAUAGCGAAAACUCAAAACGGUGCCCGGGCUCAUCUGCUCCCUCUCAGCAAAAAAAAACAAAAAAAAAUAAUAGAAAUUUUUUAAAAAUUCCAAAAAAAAUUUGGUGGUAGAUAAUUUGACGCGUGAGGUGCGCCCCAAAAUUCAACUUAUUUGGACAUCUGAGCAGCUCCCGGCAAAAAAGACAAAUCGGGUCAAAACAGUGCGUGAACAGUGAACAUUUUUACAGACCCUGAUUUUGUCUUUUUUGCCGAGAGCUGCUUAGAUGCUCAAAUGAGAUGAAUUUUGGGGCGCACCUCACGCGUCAAAUUAUCUACCACCAUAAAAAAAUUGGAAUUUUUUGAAUUUUUCUAGUAUUUUUUUAAAUUUUUUUCUAAGCGUAGGUGCAGAUGAGCCCGGGUGCAGAUUAGCCGCACUCCAUAAAUAGCACCUAUUUUGGACCUGGUUCUAAUGAUAUUCCCAUGCAGACUCAUGGACUCCCAUCGAUUCAUGGUCAGGCCGGUUGAGAGGCCCUGAUUCCAUGCAUAAGGAAUCGACACCUCCUACUUGUCGUCAUCCUCACUCACCUUCAUCUUCUUAAAAAAUAUCAGAAUCUAGAUCAUCCGCCAAUCCAUUCUCAUCCGCCAAUCCAUUGUCAUCCUUCUCUUCCAUCAUCCUUUGCAUUUUCUCCCCUUCCCCGUCCACAUUAGCCAAACCACUAGCAGCAAUAUUAGCCAAACCACUAGCAACAAUUACAGAUGACUGACUCCUCAACCCUGUUUCACGACAAACGACGACGUGUGGCAUGUAAUUUUACUAUUCAUCGGUUGUGACCCAGGUGGCUGAAUCUCAUUAGCCGACUGACUACCCUGGUUGGGUUCAUACACCCGGCCGCCUUCCAAUAAAUUCUCCUCCUUCGGCACAGUGAAUCAUCCGUUUUCUGCAACGCCUUAACCAGGUCAACCACUUAGGCUGGUCAUAGUGAGAAGUAACUUAGACUAGUAACAUGCAUAUGUUACUACCUCUAUAGUGCAUAUUAUCAUAGAUUAGUAUCAUAGAUGGUUUCAUUUAUUGCUAUGCAUGACACAUAGUAGCAUCACAUUUAUUAUGUUACGGUAUCUACCUAUGUUACUAUAACCAUCUUUCUCUUCUUUAAUUGCCUGCCACAUAAGCAUGUUUGCGAGUUCCAAGUGCAUGAUACUACUUAUGUUACCCCCACUAUGGUCAGCCUUAGGCUGGUCAUAGUGAGAAUAACAUAAGUCGUAACAUACAUGCCACAUAAGCAAAAAAGAUGAUGUGUCAGGUAAUUAAUGAAGAGAGAGGCAAAUAGAGUAACAUAAUAUGUUACCAUCACAUAGCGGUUUCCAAUGCAAAACGAGUCUACAAAGUAAUAAAUGAGGUGAUGCAUGACACACAUAUGUUACUACCCACUAUAGAGGUAGUAACAUAGACUAGUAACAUAUGCAUGUUACUAGUCUAAGUUACUCCUAUCUAUCAUGUUCAACUCCCACAAAACAUUUUUACCAGAUUUGGUCCAUACUGCAUAAAUACUAACGGAGCACUCGUUGGGAUCAGACCCAAGACUUGUUGUCAACCAGUAUUUCAACUUGUUGCCAUAGUAAACAGUGCAAUCCACGGACUCAGACAUGCCACCUGCCAUACAACUCCAUAUUUGCCAUUAAACACAUUGAACAAAUAGUCACUCCUAACAAUGGUAACCAACAGGGGUGCCCCUCGAGCAGCAACUGCAAUGACAUCCUUCCUCCCAACGGUGGCCCAAACCCUCCCCAGACUGUGCCCUCCCCUCUGGACACAGGCGAGGAAAGAAGACCUCGCAGCACGUAUUCUGCCAAUGCCUCCCAGCCUCCACGACACCAGCAAAGGCCUCCCUCCCCGUGCUUGACCCAAUCUAAAUCGGUAACAGCCGGCCAAAUCGAUACCCUGGGAGCUUAGUGAAUUUAGAGAUUCAUCUGCUGUUGAGUACACAACAAUUACCUCGCGAUAUGGAUGAACAAGACAAUCACAUCCCUGGAUCUGUAGAAAGAAGGGCUUCAUCUAGGCAGCAAAUGAGGUUUCGACAAGCAAUGAUCAAGUUCAGACUCCAUUUGUUUGCAAGAGCAGCGCGAGCCGAAAUUGCACCAUAAUACUCAGUGGUACUCUUCCAGCCGUCCAUCUCACACGCACAGACACAUUGUUCACAUCGAUAAUAACAAGACUAACAACGGAAUCGCCAAUCAAUCAAUAAAAUAGAGUCAAUUAAAACACAAGGAAAAUGACAAGUAGCCAAGAGCUAUAGGAGGAACCUGAUGGUGGAGACCACAACAUACUAGUACAAGUUCCCACAUAAGAGGUUCCGAGCAACUAUAUCAAAGAAAUGCUUUAUUAUUAUUCCACGGUUUGUCAACUUCGGAGGCUACAAGAACAGCAGGCGUAAUGUGUCGUCAAACAAAAUAAGACCCCAGAACAGGGAGCAAUCUAGAAUCAUAUAAGAAACCGACCAACAACUGACAAAUAUAGCUGCUCCAGGGCAUACCCCCCCUUCCUACAUGAUGUCAACACUCUAGGCUGCAAAACUUAAGACAGGGACAAUCAUUUUGCCUUUAUUCUCUUCGUACGGAGGAGUUAAACUCCUCCUUUA